This 60783-nucleotide long non-coding RNA is filed under the name Malus domestica (apple). RNAcentral describes it as "long non-coding RNA (MDOM_LNC006323)". Lineage: Eukaryota; Viridiplantae; Streptophyta; Magnoliopsida; Rosales; Rosaceae. The record is from RNAcentral.
UUUUUUUUUUUUUUUAAUAAUUUUUGUUGUUGUAGUGGUUGUCUUGAGUAAAAAGGAAAAUCUAAGGUAAACCCAAUUGGUAAAUGUUUCACUUUGGGUGGGUUACUUGCACAAAGUAUUGUCAAUUAAAAGAGGGUAGGAUGGACCUCGAUCGACGCUGGAGAUGGUGGUCAAGUGGUGGGUAGGAUGGACCUCAAUCGACAGAGACGGGGACAAAGUGUAAGUUCAGGAGAAAGAGAUUAUGAGGGAGAAGUUGAGAGGUCUGAAAGUCUGGAAGUCUGGAGAAUUCUACAUAACCUAAGAAAUAAACGGUGGAAAUUUAAUCUCCCUAUAAUGAACGAUGGAAACAAUUAGGGUCGAGGGCCCAUUUUCUCUUAAAUUUGUACCAGCCCCAACCCCGUUUUGAAUUUGCAAUAUAUGUACCCACCCCGUACCCGUCCUGACCCGCAGGUCCAAGACCUGUUUGCCCAACCCUAGCCAACAUCAUUAAUUCAAUACUUAAUCAAAAUUAAUUGUAAAAGCUAAGUUUUUUUUUUUAAUAAUAUUUUUUGUUGUUGUAGUGGUUGUCUUGAGUAAAAAGGAAAAUCAAAGGUAAACCCAUUUGGUAAAUGUUUCACUUUGGGUGGGUUACGUGCACAAAGUAUUGUCAAUUAAAAGAGGGAAUUAGGGGAGAAAAUAAGGAAUUGAAGUUGUGAGCCUCCUGAAUUUCUUUUCUUUGAAGAAACUUAGAAAAUGAGAAUAUACGGUUUGCCAACAUGUUGAAAGAGAAGGCCACAUUGGUAGGUAGGUGAAACCAUACUUCCUUUUUCACAAAUGAAAAAUCAUCUUGACUUGCUACUUAGUAUUACGGUUUAGUGGUAUUCAUCUUCACUUGUAAGUGAGAGGUCUUAGGUUCGAUUCUCGCCAAAUGCGAAUUUGAAUCACAUUAUUGCUAGCAUAUUGUGAGAGUUAGUAGCCCACUUCCCCCCAUUAAUGUAUAUAGUAUCAUUUGUUAAAAAAAAUAAAAUUAUCAUGACUCAUAUAUUUUCUUGAAUUGUUUGGAUUCAACACUAAGGUUCAAGGCUUGUAGAAAGGCUAGCAAUUUUCACACUCUCGUGUUUUCUUCUGCACUUCUCUCAUUCUUUCUACAAUACUUCUCUUUUGAUUUACUCAAUACAAAGAUUGAAAAUAAUAAUAAUAAUAAACAGACAAAAAGAGAGUGCGAAAAUUACUUUCGUAAUUGGGAAUUUUGGGGCACGUACCGUUGUAAACUUGUAACAAAAGACAAUCAUGGUUAGUUGCAUUUAGGUACGUCCGAGUAACAUUUGGUUUCUCCGACAAGCUAGCGAAGCUACCCUCUCUGUUUUUCCCCAAAUCCAUCACACAGUUUCUAGUCCUUCCCCAAAUUUCACACGAAAUCUAAUCCCAAAUAACGCCUCCUACUUAUAAAUUCUCCCUCAUUGUGUUUGAUCCAAAACCCAAGUCUUCCAUUUUACAUUGGAAGGCCUGAAAAUAUCUGCAUUUUCUCGAGUUUUUCAGCCAUGAAGUUCACAGCUCUAGCAGCAAUGAUGGCGGCCGUGACUGUCUUAGGCCUCCUCAUUGAUGGCCACGACUGCAAAAUCGUGCAGUUUAUAUUCGGGGACUCCCUCUCCGACGUUGGAAACAACAAGCGCUUGAGCAGGAGUCUCGCCCAAGCAAGCCUGCCUUGGUAUGGCAUUGAUAUGGGCAAUGGACUGCCCAAUGGCAGGUUCACUAAUGGCCGUACAGUUGCUGAUAUAAUAGGUAACAUAUGUUGCAACAGUUUUGACUCUGUGCAGGACGUCUUGUCUUUCUUAAACAUAUAGUUUUUCGUCGAGUUUAUUUUUAUGCUGAACUUGUUUGUUUAUUUAGGUGAUAACAUGGGGCUCCCAAGGCCGCCGGCGGUUCUUGAUCCGUCAUUGACCGAAGACAUGAUACUUGAAAAAGGAGUAAACUAUGCCUCUGGAGGUGGAGGGAUUUUGAAUGAAACCGGCGGCUACUUUGUAAGUUGCAACCUUAAAUGUAACAAAACCACAUGAAGAUUGAGCUUUUAAUUAAGAUUGUGCGUGAUUUGAUCAGUAUUGUGUUUGCAGAUUCAGAAGCUCUCGCUCUACAGGCAGAUCGAUCUGUUUCAAGGGACACAAACACUGAUCAAAAGCAAAAUUGGCGCAAACGCAGCGGAGAAAUUCUUCCAAGACGCUCGUUAUGUGGUCGCUUUAGGAAGCAACGACUUCAUUAACAACUACUUGAUGCCUCUUUACAGAGAUUCGUGGAGUUACAACGAUCAAACAUUCAUCGAAUACCUAAUGGGAACUCUAGAAAGACAACUUAAGGUUAGAAUAUCAGUUAUUUUUAUUUAUUUUUUAUCAAUUUCUGCCAGUCAAUCGUACGUAGUUUCCUGACUAGGGUUUUACGUGCUUUCGAGCAGCUGUUGCACAGCCUAGGGGCGAGGCAGCUGAUAGUGUUUGGGCUAGGACCAAUGGGUUGUAUUCCGCUCCAAAGGGUGCUAAGUACCUCUAACGGUUGCCAAGAGAGGUCAAACAAACUAGCUCUCAGCUUCAACAAAGCUGGAAACAAGCUAAUGGAAGACUUGUCCAGUAAGCUUCCUAACGCAACCUAUCGAUUUGGUGAUGCUUAUGAUGUCGUCAACGAUGUGAUCACCAAUCCAAUCCAAUACGGUAUGUUAAGACAGAACAGAGAACAUGUAACAUAUCUCCUCGUUUCUCUACUGACCUUUUCUGUAUUCGAAUUCCGACCAUGGCAGGAUUCACCAAUGCGGAUUCACCGUGCUGCUCAUUUGGAAUAAUUCGACCGGCUUUGACUUGUGUCCCUGCAUCAGUACUGUGCAGUGACAGAAGCAAAUACUUCUUUUGGGAUGAGUACCAUCCAUCAGACAGUGCAAACGAGCUUAUUGCCAAGGAACUCAUAAAGAAAUUCGGUUUGUCGCGCGUUGAUGAAACGGAUGGCCCUUCUCCUGCACCUGCUUUUGCUCCAUCACCAGAGGGAUAAAUGCUAGUACAAUCAAACCAGCAGUGUCUGCUGCUCAAAUUGUUUUCCUAAACAGCAACUUCUUAGUGAUCAUUACAGCUUUUCAUAUACAACUAUUGUUUGGUUUAAUAAGCUCGAAUAUAUAUGUUUCGAUCAUUCGUGAUUUUGCGUAUGAAGUUAAACAUAUUGAGCACCAAUCCUUCAUGAACUUUCGACUCACAAAUCAUUGUCAACCAUAAUAUACUCUUGAACAAUCAAGAACUGUCCUCACUAGUAAGACCUGCACCACCUCCUUAUGGAUACACAUAUACGUUGGCACUAAUGACACCUAGUGCCAUCUACUCCUGGAGUCCUACUCCGUUUACGAAAUCAGUUUGGAACCUUACAGAGGCACAAACCCUAGCUUUACGGAGUUGCUAACACUAGCCCCUUCUCAAGUUCCCGCGUACAACCCGGCUUCUUUUACAAUCUUUGCAUACACGUACUGGUUUACUGAGAUUGUUACGGCUGAGCUUGCCUAAUCUUGUGUUCAUGCUAUCGUGCACAGCGAGGGGAGGGGAGUAUUGUCUUGUGUGCCGCCUAUCUAGCUCGGGCUUUUUCAUCACCACUAGGCCGCAUACAAUCCAGCCAGUAGUCUCUGCUGCUUACAAUUGCUUUCCGAAAGCAACUGCUUAUCGAUCAUUAAAUAUCUUGCCGCAUACAACCAUCGUUUGGUCUGUGAACUUGAAUAUAUACGUUCCUAAACUUUCAUGAUUUUGCCUACGAAGUUAUACAUAUUUAGCAUCGAUCCGCCAUGAACUUUCGACUCACAUAUAAUUGUCAACCAUAAAACAUAAUUUAUACAUACUUAGUAAGAUCUGCACACCUCCUCAUGGGUACAUACAUAUACAUGUUGGCACUUAACAAAAUUAUUCCUAGUGCCAUCUACACUUGGAGUCCUAUGCCAUUUACAAAAUCAGAACGGAAACUUACAGAGGCACUAACCCUAGCUUUAUGGAGCUGUAAACACUAGCCUCUUCCCAAGUUCCCGCGUGCAACCCAGCUUCUUUUGCAAUCUUUGCAUGAACGUACCGGUUUACUGAGAUUGUUACGACUGAACUUGUCAAAUAUUGUGUUCCUGCUAUCACAACGGGGGCAGGGGAGUAUCUUCUUCUGUGCCUUCUCUCUAGCUCGGACUAUUUCAUCACCACUAGGCUGCAAAGCUGCAGGAAUUUACCAAACGUCAAAAAGAAUGCGGGUGCAGUAGUACAGAAACUUCAAAAUCUCAAACACGCGAGAUGUCAAGUCAAUUACCAGGUCUGGACGAGGAAGCUUCCUCUUUGCCAUCCUUCUUCUGAAGUUCUUGCUUCUUCUCAGCUGGCCUCUUCCUCUUUGCAUCCCGCUUCUGAAUUUCCGGCUUCUUAUCCUUCACAUCCUGUGUGAAUGAACAGAUGCACACGUCAAACAACGUCCAGUUUAAUAAUCUUACCAUACGCAAACAUACACAAACCGGUUAAUCCAUGUUAAAUCAUCGCUGUGUUGCGACUUCAUGAGUUGAACUUACCCUGUCGUCCUCCUUACCAAGCGCCUUGUUCGCCUCUCUGAUUUUUUCCAACUCCACAAGGUUUUCCACACAUUUACUUGUAAAAGUGAAUUAAGAAACCCGAAAGGUAAAAGUAACAAGCGAAAACAAAUGAACAAACAAUCAAACAGAUCACGAAGCAAAAGGAUACGUCCUGUCUUCCAAAAGUUUAAGCAAGAUCUCGGUGUUCUGUAAACACAUUCGGAAUAUAAUAACAAUAACAUCAAACAGAAAUCAAACCAAAUAAAUCAUCAACAUCCAAUUAGAACAUCCAAAUCAGAUUGAUAAAGCGACAACCUUCGCGUUUUUGGUUUCGGAAACAAGUUGGAUGAGCUUCAUGUUUUCCUGACAAGAUAUGCAUUCAGAUCAAACAAGUCACACCAACAUACUUCUUAAAGCCAAAUCCGAGAUUAAAUGACGAGGGCGGAAAAAAGAAGCAAUCUUGUAUUGUACCUCAUGGAAACUUUGAACUGAGACUGUAGCAAAGCCAUCGGUUUGAUCCCCAAUCUUAUGCUUUUCCUUCUCAUCUGCUAUCCACACUAAAAAUCUCAGUCCCUUUACGGCAAAGCAUAAUCUUACAAAAAGUUCACGGCCGUACGGGAUUUGUGUCUUGUUGAACUAAAAGUGUUUCUGACAAUUAAAAGUGCUUCUAAAUACGUCAUCUUACAAAAAGCUGAAAAUUUCUAAAGGCCAGUUUUUUACGAUUUCUUCCUGGUAGAGCUAAAAGGACUUUCUGACGACCAAAAGCGCUUCUGACUAUUUGGAAGAAAAACUUAAGGUUACUCAAACUCCUACAAAUUUUUUGCAUGAAAGGAUGAAGAGAAAACAUUUUCCAGCUGAAAUUCGGAGAAAAAGUGCAAAGAAAUCAUAGUUGCAGCAACGAAUGACUUUCAUAUGUGAACCCUAAACCACCAAACAGAAAGAAACGGAGAAAUGGGAGAAAUUGACCUUGACCAAUUUCACGUUGUAAGUCGAGUAAAUCAACUUGGUCGCCAAUUUCUUCCCCACGACUAGUUGUCUCUCUCUUUGUCCCUCCCGGUAACCGCAUACGAACCAUCUCUCUCUCUCUCUCUCUCUCUCUCUAGCUCCUCUCUAUAGCUGGUUCUUACUGGUCUGAAAUUUUAGAAAUUAGAAGACGAGGGGAGAAAAAGUUCGUGACUUGAAGCAAAAUUGUUUUUGUUUUUUUUUUUGGGUGGAAAAUGAAGCUUCAUUAAGAUACAAUUUGUGUUAGAAGGUCUAAGCCUAAAUAGAGCACAAAGCCUUAUACAACAAAGCAAACAUAAGAUAGAGGACAAACUCAGACAAAGAGAGCUACAACUCCAGCUACAAAGAGAGGGCCACACUGAUUUAGGCCCGUAGGCUACAAAAGAAACAAUAAACAGUAAAACCCUCAAAUCCUGAAGCCAAAAAUUGGUCACCACCGCCACAUCCGCCGUUACCUCCACGAAGAAAGACAUCGCACCAAACAAAAAAAUGCACCCGAACCAAAACUGCAACGCCCCGCCCCUAAAAUACUUAUUUUCGGGAAAUAAUUUUGAUGAUAGACCCAAUUUAAACUCUUGUUUAAUUUACUACCAUUACAACUUCAAUCCCUUAAUUCCUCACAAAACUAUAUCCAUAUUUUAAUUAUCAAAACAUACGAUUAAAUUAUCAAUUUAAUCCCUAAAUUUCUUCUAUUUCUAAAACUUCUCAAAUUUUAUAGAAAUGUAGAGCAUGUCAAGAGGAACAACUUUUAUACCUAUGUCGAAGUCUAAUUCGGCCGGGAAAAGCCCCAAUUUUACUCAAACCCACCGGAACCCUAGAAUUUGGGUGUUCUUCAAUUCGACCAAUCCGCAAGACCACCGCCCUAAAAAUGGUUGGGCUUUGUUCCUGACCUCAGGAGAAGUCGUUUGAUGGUGAUGGUGGUUAACAUUACUCUCACGAUUGCUGGAUUUCGACUUGGCACCCUCGGAACCCACGGGUUUCGUUUUACUCGAAUUCAAGCUCAAACCCAAUAAAAUUUGGGUGAAAAUGGAAGAGGGAAGGUUGGGGAUUUGUUUCCAAGUGAUAAUUUGGUGCAAUUUGCACCCAUUUGGCUAGAAAUUGCAUCGGAACCCCUUCUUUCCGUCGGAUCGGGCACGAAAAGGGAACGGGUCGAAGGGAUCCAGUGUCCCACACCUCUCUCCCUUCUCUUGUUUUUUAUUAGGUCCCUUUCUUUUCUUUUCCCCCUGAUUGGGCAGUCCCCCCUUCUUCUCCCUUCUCUUUUCCCUUUUUUCUUUCUUUUUUUUUCUUUCUUCCCUCCUCUUGUUGGUUCCUCCUUUCUUCCUCCUCUAACCACAACCACCACGUGGCUUUUCUACACCCAAACAAAACUCCAGCAAAUCUGGAGCAUUCCAGAUUCAUGGCAAAAUGAUCAUUUUGCCCCUAUCUUCGUUUGUUUCUAUUUUAUUCGUUAUAACUUCGUUUGACAAAUGGUUUUCGCCUACACACUUGUAGGGUCGUUCUCUAUUCAAUUAUGUCAAGAAAUAUGAUAAAAUAUAUGAGGAUAAAGUACAUCCUCGUAUAAUUCAAUUUAGCCAACUAGAGGCAUGCAUUUUCAUCCUUUCACUUUUCGAUAAAUUUUACGACAUAAUUUAUAAUAAUUUCCAUAAACAAAACUUUAACAGUUCUCAAUUCAAUUUUUCUAAGUCAAUUUAUUUUCGAUUUUUCUCCACAUUUUCAUAUAUUUAAAAUUUCAGGGUAUUACAAAAACCCAAAUCUAAGAGUAUUGCACAUAAUCAAUCCACCGAAAGCCAAAGCCAUCAUAGGCACACCUGUAAGAAAAGUCACCAAACGUAAUAGGGGAAGGGGGGCGAAGGGGGUGUGUAAAACACCCUUGUUCUGACGUGAAUCAUUCCACACUUUACCCAAUUUUUCCGGUAAGCCGAAUCGACAGUGAGCUGUACGGGUUGGGUCUCGAUUUAAGAUAGAGCCCAAUACUAAUAAAUUUAAAUCAUGGUUCAUUGUUGGGAAAGAUGAAGGGCAUCAUGAGGGAUGUAGGAGAACAUGGUGUGAUAUGGAGAUAUUGGGGGGGGGGGAUGACAGUGAGCGACCGAUGAUUGAGGAGAGGGAACAAAAAUGAGACCAAAGCUCAGAUAUGUGACAAAGCUAAAAAAAAACAUAAAAAAGACAAGGAAUGGAAGAGAGGAAAGAAAAGUAGAAGGAAACGUGAGAGAUUUUCAGGGUUGCCACUGACCCUAAAGCCAAAGGCUAAGGCCGGUGGCUGAGUAAGGGUUUCUCUUGGGGCUUUUCACAGAGAGAGAGAAAGAGAGAGCAAGGGUUGGGGCAAAUUGAAGCAAAAUUGUUAAUUGGUCUUUUCUCUGGAGACUAAAUUCUUAAACUAAAUUUUGUAAACUAAUGCUAUGUUUGGAUAAGAGAAAUAAACUUGGAAUUUGGAUAAAAGUUAGAAUUUAUAAAUUCACUGCACCAAUUCUCUUAUUUGGAUUCAUAAACAUAGAAAUUUAAAAUUUCCGCGUGGAAUUUUAUUUUUUUAUUUUUUUUGAAUUUAGAGUGUCACAGCCCGUUCCGGAAUUUUAUAUUCAUGGGUGUGAAAUGACAGAAUUGCCCUUAGCAGUUGCAAAGGUAUGUGUGUCAUAUUAUUUGAAUAGUGCAUACUUUUCUAAGUUUUGGAAAUUUAAUGGGAUUAAAAUUGUAUGCAUUUUUUAUGUGGUUAGGGACUUAGGUGGACCACCUACCCUCACCAUCAAACUCCUCUCUCUCUCCUAUCCCGUGCCCUCUCUCUCUUCCCUCUCAGUUUCUCUCUCUCUCUCUCUCGAACCGAACGGACAAGAACCCAAAAUCCCUCAAAACAUCACGGAUCGACGUCAAUAAGGUGAGUUUCUUCAUCCUUGCAACCUCCUGAGUUGAAUGGUACUAUUUUUGGAACUUAGAACCUUUGAAAUCACGUGAAAUCCGAACCCCAGUUUGAUGUCACUGUUCAUGCACACGUGAAUUGUUGAUUUUCAGGGAAUUCUAAGCUUAUAGGGAGCUUAGUGAGGUCCCAAGGAAGCUCGGAGUACUUAGUUUGAAGGUUUUGGACGUCGGGAUCGUAGGGUUCGAAGUUGGCCGGUUUUCUUGGAUUUUCUCCGAUGAGAUUUCAUAAUUUUUAGAGCCUUAAACUAGUACAAUGUGAUUCUACAUGCUUAGGGCUUCAUUUUAAUAUAAAAUGCGUAGAAAAUGGUGGAGAAAUGACGGAGAACAAAAAGAUUGAAAAAUCUCCAGUUUUCCGGCGCCGGCGAAACUAGUCCGGCGACUGGAGGAAGAAGAUGUCGCGUGUGGGGGCGCGUGGGUCCGUGCCCUUCCCGAUGCGUGGGGGCGUGUGGCAAGUCCAAUUUUUUUUCUAAAAAUACCUCGACAUCCGUGACGUCGAGUAGAUCACCGUGGUAUAUUCGUAUACCCAAAUUGAGCAUCGUAUGAGAAGUUAUUAUGCAUUGUCGGUUAUGUGCUUUAAUUAACGUUUUUAUAGUUGUUUCGCAUAUAGGUGAUACCUAUCCCGAGGACGAGCGCAUUCAAGGACGUUACGGGUGUCACAUCUCGGCCUGGGGCGGACCACUUCCGGGGCCCAUUCCACCACCGUAGCACGAUAUUGUCUGUUUUGGGCCCCGACUACGCCCUCACGGUUUUGUUUCCGGGAACUCACACGAGAACUUCCUAGUGGGUCACCCAUCAUGGGAUUGCUCUCGCGUGCUACUCGCUUAACUUCGGAGUUCCGAUGGAACCCGAAGCCAGUGAACUCCCAAAGGCCUCGUGCUAGGUAGGGAUGAGAAUAUACAUUUAAGGAUCACUCUCCUGGGUGAUGUGGGAUGUCACAAUCCACCCUCCUUAGGGGCUCGACGUCCUCGUCGGCACACCACGGCCAGGGUUAGGCUCUGAUACCAAACUGACACACCCCGAUCCUAGAAUCAAGGCGUGAUGGCCAUCACGUGAGCGUGACGUAACCAAAAGUGCGAUGCGGAAGCAAAAGAUAAGAGAAAUACGAAGGAAUAAAACCCAACUACUAGCAAUAAUCCAACUAGCAUGCUACAAUAAGUUUAAGUGUGAAACACACAAAUUCAGAGCAUAAGUACUAGGUGCAGUCAAGUAGGACCAUAACUAAAUUACAACACCCGCAGGUGAGUCCUACAUUUAUGUAGUCUGUCAGUACGCCGUGGGAAUCCUCGUGGGCCACCAACGCUGCUAACUAUAACCUGGAGGGGUGCAAAACAAAAUUGAGUGGGUCAGUAAAACCAAAGUUUUUCAAAAACAGUUCAUUUAAAACAUUUCUAACCCCUCGCUGUAAAACCUGUAUACUUUCCCAGAAAAUAACAUAAUAUGCAUAUAAUCUUCGUAUAUCUCAAAUCACAAUUCUUUAUCAAAACCCAUAAAAUAUGCCAUGCCAUAAUGUCAAUAACAGAUUAAGAAUGCAUUAAUAUAACAGGUGACAUAAUGAAUUAACCGGAGACCCUGCAGUUGGUCCUGUAUGGUUAAUUCCACAGCUCAAUAUCCAAACCAACCGAAGUCACCACGGUGACCUGUACGGCACUACUCUGCACAUAAGUCGGAACUACUUGAAGUAGUCUGUACAACAAGGAUGGUGUAAUAAUACGCUCUAGUGUUUCUCUCAUCAAUCAUCUGUGCACAUAAUCUAAGGUCACCUACUAGUCGGAACCACCUCUAGUGAUCUGUACGACUAGCAUGUCGGAACCCUCUCAUGGUCUGUACGACAUGCACCUACUUGGAUCCAAGGUGAGCGUGCGGUGCGGGUGAAUAAUAUAAGCACUAACAUCAGGGGUACAGGUUAUGAGCUCUCAAAUCUGCAAGAAGAGGAACACGACAAGCAUACAAAGCAUUGAGUCGACCUUGAGGUUUCCUACUCAGUGCAUCAGCUACCACAUUUGCACGACCCGGAUGAUACUCAAUAGUGCAGUCAUAAUCACUUAGUAACUCCAUCCACCUUCAUUGACGAAGAUUAAGAUCAUGCUGAGUGAAAAAAUAUUGAAGACUCUUAUGAUCUGUGAAACAAUGGAGAUAAUGCCUCCAAAUUUUCAAAGCAAAAACAAUGGUUGCCAACUCAAGAUCGUGAGUAGGAUAAUUCCUUUCAUGAAUCUUCAACUGUCGAGAAGCAUAGGCAAUCACUCUAUUAUGCUGCAUCAAAACACAUCCCAAACCAUUUAAAUAAGCAUCACUGUAAAUCUUAAAGUUACCGUUAUCAUCAGGAAGUACCAAUAUCGGAGCAUGAGUGAGGCAAUAUUUCAACUGCUGAAACUUUGCUCACAAUUCUCGUCCCACUCAAACUUAACAUCCUUUCUGGUUAACUUCAUUAGUGGUAAGGCAAUCAUAGAAAAAUCUUGAACAAACCAUCGAUAAUAACCUGCUAGACCCAGAAAACUCUGUACCUCAGUGACGGUUCGUGGUUGUUCCCAAUUCUCCACUGCUGCUAUCUUUUGAGGAUCUACUUGAAUUCCUUGUGCCGAUACUACUUGCCCCAAAAAUGCCACUUCAUUCAACCAAAACUUACAUUUACUGAACUUGGCAUACAACUGAUGCUCCCUCAAUUUCUUUAAUAUUAAAUUAAGAUGUCGAAUAUGAUCUGCUUUUGACUUAGAGUAUACCAGAAUAUCAUCGAUAAAGACAAUGACAAACCUGUCAAGAUAUUGCUGGAAUACCUCAUUCAUUAGCCUCAUGAAAGCUACAGGUGCAUUAGUCAAUCCAAAUGGCAUCACCAAAAACUCAUAAUGCCCAUAACGGGUCCUGAAAGCCGUCUUAGGUACAUCAUCAUCUUUAAUCUUCAACUGAUAAGAGCCAGAUCUCAAAUCAAUCUUAGAGAACACACACGUACCUUUGAGUUGAUCAAACAAAUCAUCGAUACGAGACAAUGGAUAACGGUUUUUAAUCGUUACCUGAUUCAAUUGCCUGUAAUCGAUACAUAAUCUCAAAGUUCCAUCUCACCCUAUUUCUUUCACCCACGAAAGUAACCUCUGGUAAUCUAGGACGAUGAAAAGUAACUGACUUCCUGUAACAAUCUAUAUGGGCAUGAUUACAAUGCAACCAAUCUGCCCCUAAAAUCACAUCAAAAUCCACAAUAUCUAACGGGAUAAGAUUAGUUGGCAUAACCACACCAUCCACCAUCAAUGGACACCCAGGAUAAACACUAUCAACAUAACAUUUGUCACCUCUAGGCAUAGCAAAUUCUAAAUCAAAUCUUAGAGGUGUAGGGUGAGGUUGAGUCAUUUGAGCAAACGUAUGAUAAAUCACAGAAUGUGUAGCACUACAAUCAAUCAAGACUCUUGCAAAAUGACCAAGAAUAAUUAACGUACCCAUAAUUAAAUCUGGAUGGUUCUGAGCAUCUUGCAGUGAGAUGUGAUUAACACGUCCCUGAGCUUGCUGUCGUCCACCACGACCUCUGUUGCCUUGGUUACCUCGCCCCUGAGAAGUACGUCUAUGUCCUGGCUGAUUAGACUGCCUAGAUGGUCCUGCACCACUAGCAGUAACCUUUCCUUGUCGGGGCUGACCUCCCUGAUGCCACUGAGAUCCACUAGUUGGCAUGGAAGAAUAAGAAGUAUAACCUCCAAGGUCUUGGGAAUACCCAGUCUGAGAAUAUGGAUCCUGGGAAUACUGAUACUGUCCGGAAGCAUAUGGAGCAGCAUCACCCUGGUAAUGGUAAGCACCACCACGACCCGUCUGACCAUAAUUGCCUGAUCCAAAAUUUUGCUGAAUCGGCGCUGGAGGUGGCAUAACAGACUGCUGAGACCUCUACUGACUCUGGGAACACUGAGCAGCCCUAUGUCCCAUCUGUCCACAAGUGUAACAAGCACCAUCACUUCUCAUACACUCUCCAUGAUGUCUGAAAUUACAACGGCGGCACAACGGAGCACCAGAACCACCAGCACCACCAAAAUCUCUCUGUCUCUGAAACCUAGGUCCACCAGCAAAUCUUCCACCUCUCAUCGGGCCUGUGACACUAAAUCCUCCACUGGAAGAACUCGAGCGAGCUCCACUUUUCUUGAAAUUCUGCGUCUUACGGGUUCCCUGAGUGGAGAUACCUUUACCCCUAUCCUCUUUCUUCUGAUUAUCAUUCUUAUCUUCAUCAUCCUCACUGUUACUAGGAAGGUUGUCAGAAUCCUCCAUCCUAACCAAAAUCUCAGAAAACUCAUGAUAAUUGGUGCAAGGAAGCGCACUAGCAAAAGUCCACCAUUUCCUCUUAGUUCCCAGCUUAAAACGGCGAAGCAUCUCUGCCUGAUUACCAGCUGUAUCAGGGUCAUAACGAGACAAGUCUGUAAACUUCCUGUAAUACUCAUGUGCCGACAUAUUCUUUUGCUUCAAUUGAGUGAACUCCUGCUUCUUACGAUCAAUGUACUCCAGAGAAACAAAUCUUUUCAUAAAAUUCUCUUUGAAUACUUCCCAGUCAGCUGCCAUCUCAGGUGACAUAAACUUAGUCUGAUUUACCCACCAAGCUGCUGGCUCUCGCCCCAAAAACCAAGUAAUGGUCUCAACCCAUCUAUUAGCAAGAAGAUUCCCCUGACUCUGCAUCACCUGAAAAGUCUUCUCAAUAUGGUCUAACCAUUUUUCUGCUCCUUCAUGACCUUCAUUACCCAUGAAACGGUCCAAUUUCAGAUUAUACAUAGUCUUCAGGGGUGUUCUCUGAGGAGGAGGAGGAUGACGGAUUGCAUUUUGAAAGGCAUGGGCCAUCGCUUCCCCUAAUUGAGUUAUAUCAGGAAAAUUAGACUCAGUAGCACGGCGUGAUUCCCUACGAGGCGGCAUAGUUCUGACAGAAGACACCAAAAGAUCAUUAGAGCAUUAACAAUUUAUACAGGACUGCAACCUAGGCUCUGAUACCAAACUGACACAUCCCGGGCCCAUUCCACCACUGUAGCACAAUAUUGUUUGCUUUGGGCCCUGACUACGCCUUCACGGUUUUAUUUCUGGGAACUCACACGAGAACUUCCCAGUGGGUCACCCAUCAUGGGAUUGCUCUCGCGCGCUACUCGCUUAACUUCGGAGUUCCGAUGGAACCCGAAGCCAGUGAGCUCCCAAAAGGCCUCGUGCUAGGUAGGGAUGAGAAUAUACAUUUAAGGAUCACUCUCUUGGGUGAUGUGGGAUGUCACAACGGGGGCUACGACCCUUCGACUUACCAGUGAGUGGGCAAUAUUUUCUGUAUUUACCUAUAUACUAUUAAUUUUUCCCAGAAAUUGAAUUUAAAUGAAAGUGUGUUUUAAAAUGCCAUGCAUGCAUAUUAUGAAAUAUGUGAAUUAGUAUUUGAUGCAUAUAUAUAUGUGAAUUGUGUCGGGGCCGCACAUGUGAGUUUUAUGUUAAUCAUUGUGAUGUGAAUUGUAUUGAAAGCUCAAACAUGCACCCCUGGUGUUAGUGCUUAUAUUAUUCACCCCGCACCACACGCUCACCUUGGAUCCAAGAAGGUGCAUGUCGUACAGACCAUUAGAGGGUUCCGACAUGUCGUACAUACCAUGAGGUGGUUCCGACUUGUAGGUGAUUUUAGAUUAUUAUACAACUGUUGAUGAGAGAAGCACUAAAGCGUAUUCUUAUACCUUUCUUAUCGUACAGACUACUUCAAGUAGUUUCGAUUUAUGUGCAGAGUAGCGCCGUACAGGACCAAUUGCAGAGUCUCCGGUUAAUUCCUUAUUUCACCUGUUAUAAUGUUGCAUUCUUAUUCUGUUGUUGACGUUAUGGCAUGGCAUACUUUCUGGUUUUUGAUAAAGAUUUGUGAAUUGAAAUAUUUGAAGAAUUAUAUGCAUAUUAUGUCAUUUUCUGGGAAUGUAUACAGGUUUUACAGCGAGGGGUUAGAAAUGUUAUUAAAUGAAAUGUUUUCAAAAAACUUUGUUUUACUGACCCACUCAAUCUUAUUUUGCGCCCCUCCAGUUUCUAGUUAGCGGUGUGGUGGCUCACGAGGAUUUCCACGGAGUUCUGACAGACUACAUAAAUGUAGGACUCACCUUCAGGUGUUGUAAUUUAGUUAUUCCUACUUGACUGCACCUAAUAUUUAUGCUCUGAAUAUGUGUGUUUCACACUUAAACUCACUCUAGCAUGUUAGUUGGAUAUUAUUGUUAGUAUUAGGUUUUUAUUUCUUCAUAUUGCUCUUAUCUAUUGCUUCCGCGUCACACUUUUGGUUACGUCACGCCCACGUGACGGCCAGCACGCCUUGAUUUUAGGAUCGGGGUGUGUCAUGGAGCCUUCAACUCCCAAGUUUAAAUUCCAUGUAAAUAGAUGUCAUUUUCCAAUUUCUAUGAUUGAGAGUUUAAAAAUAAGAAAUUUCGUAUUCAAUUCCAUUGUUGUUUUAGGUUAACCAAACAAAAAAAUUCACAAUUUCUAGAAAAUAAAAUCCCGUCAUUUUAAAAUUUCUUAGUAAUCUUAAACUUCUUUAUCCAAACAUAGUGUAAAUGAUGUGGUUCUUGAUAAUUGAAUUAUAAUUUAAGUGUUGAUUAACGUGCUUAUUUUUUUUAUUAGUGAUACAUUAUUUGAUUUGCAAACAUGUUGUGCAAAAAUCAAAUCAACGUUAAAAGAAAUUUAGUAAAAGUGGCGCUUUCUCAAUGUUUCCUCUAUUCAAAAGACAAGACGUGUUGCACAUAAAAUUUCUCUCUAAUAAAUUGGCCAUAGAAUUUCUCAACGCUUUUCGGUUUGACUCCCCUUCUCCAAUGAAUAAAUCAUUUUUCCUUGGAAAGCAAUACUUGCAUUAAGAAUUUUACUUUAGAUAAUAUUUUAAAUCAAUCACGCAGUUCAUGUAUUUUAAUUUUCUCGCAAAACAUUACGUUAUUGCUAUGAAAUUACACCUCCUUCACAAUCAUAAUAUAAUUGUCAACCAUAACAUAUCAUUCAAAUCUCCUCCACAAUCAAAAGCUGUCCUCACUAGUAAGAUCUGCAGCACCUCCUCAUGCAUACAUAUAUAAUGGCACUUAACAAAACUACACCUCUUGCCAUCUACUCCUGGAGUCCUCCUUUUACAAAACCAGUUUGGAACUUCACAGAGACACUAACCCUAGCUUAAGAGAGUUGUUAACGCCACCCCUUCUUAACUUUCCACCAACAAUCCAGCUUCUUUUACAAUCUCUGCACAAACGUUUUUCUUUACGUAGAUUGGAAUAUUUGAACUGUUCAAAUCUUGUGUUCAAGCUUUCGCAGCGAGGGCAGGGAAGUAUCUUCUUGCGUGCCUCCGCUUUAGCUCGGGCUAAUUCAUCAGCACUAGGCUGCAAUGCUGCACGCAUUUACCAAACGUCAAAGCAAAUGUUCAUCCAGAAGAAGAUUCAAAUAUCUCAAACGCGUGAUGUGUCAAGUUAAUUACCUGGUUUAGAGAUGCAUGCUUCCACUCUCAUAUCCUUCUUCUGAAUUUCCGGCUUCUUCUCAGCAACCCUCCGCUGCAUGUCCUGUCAAUGAACAGAUGUACAAUUCUAAUCAUGCGUACAGAAUUGGUUAAUUCAUGCCAUUUAAACGUAGGAAUUACACAGCGAAGGACUUCAUCGGUUGAACUUACCCUGUCCCUAACAAGCACCUUGUUCCCCUCUUUGAUUCUUUCCAACUCUACAAGGUUUCCCACACAUUUACUUGCAAAGUGAAUUAAGAAAAACCCCGAAAAUGCCAAUGUGAUGGAUGAACAAAAACAUAAACGAUCAAAUAUAUCACAAAGGAUACGUCCCGUCUUCCAAAAGUUUGAGCAGGUUCUUAGUAUUCUGUGAACACAUUCAGAACAUAUCAAGGUAAAUUAGACGAAAUGAAUCAUCAAAAAUGAAUUAGAUUAGCCAAUUCAGAUCGAUAAAGUUACAACCUUUACAUCCUGACAACUUAUGUAUUCAGAUCAAUCAAGUCACACCAACUUGCUUAUAGCAAAUCAGAGAUUAAAUUACGAGGGCGGAGAAAAGAAGAAGUACCAUUUCGGCAAAGGAAUCAGUUUGGUCCCCAAUCUCAUGCCUCUUCUUGCCAUCUGCUAUCCACACCAAAAAUCUCAGUCACUUAUUGGCAAAGCAUUAUCUUGCAAAAAGCCCAAAAUUUCUUAGGGCCCAUUUGGGAUUUGCUUCUGUUUAGACAACCAAAAGUGCUUCUAAUUACCUUAAUGCGUUUGGAACAAAAACAUUAUAGUUCUUAUGGUUGUAGAGGUGCUUCCACUUGGAACUUUUUUUAUAAAAAUUUCUACUUGUUUAUAAUACUACAAGCGUUUCUAGCAUAAGUGCUUCCUACAGAAGCAGUCCCAAACAAACCCUACGUCACUUUACCUCAAAUUUCUACACAAAGAAAAAAAAGAAAAACGACAAAAGCAUUUUCCAGCAGAAAUUCGGAGAAAAAAUUGCAAAGAAACCAUGGUUGUAGCAAUGUAUGACUAACAUAUGUGAACCUUAAACACGCAACGAGAAAGAAAUGCAGGCGAAAGAAAGAAAUAUCAAGGAAAGCAGAAAUGGGAGAAACUGACCUCGAGCAUUGUCAUCUUCUACGUCCAUUGCUUUAAUUUCGUCGCCAAUUUCUCCCAGAGGGCUUGUUUGCUCUCUCUUUGCACCUCCCCGCAGACGAACCAUCUCUCUCUCUCUCUCUCUCUAGCUGGUUCUUACUUCUUACUGGUCUGAAUUCAGAAAUUACAAAACGACUGGAAAAGUUCUUGACUUGGAAGGAAAUGGUGAGCUGCAUAAAUUUUUAGUUGAGACGGAAACACGGAUGGUACAUCACGUGUUUUUAUGUAAAUGGUGAAAAAUUUUAAUUUUUAAAUUAUUAACCUUUUAACACAUAUAACCUACCAUUUAUAUAGGAACACGUAGUGUACCAUCUCGUGUGACGGUCACAUUGAAAAAUCUCUCGGUGAGCUGGUCGUUGAUUCUGAGAAAUUUUUAAUUGUGACGGGAACACAAGUGGUAGACCACGUGCUUUAAUUGAAGUGGUGAGAAAUUUUAUUUUUUAAGUCAUUAACAUUUUAGCACACAUUUCCAAUCAUUUGUAUAAUAACACGUGAUAUACUAUCUCAUGUAUCAGUCAUACUGAAAAAUCACUCUCGUGGAUUCUUUCGUGGAAGUGUUCCCUAUUUGGGCCUUUUUGUUGUUUUUGUUUUUUUCCCAAACUUUGGGCUCUCUUUUGGUUCAAUUCGGCUUCUUGCCGUGGGACUGUCGUGUUUAUAAAUGGAAUUUAAAAGAAAUAACAAACGGUGGAACCAUCUGAUAGAUGGUGAACAAUAUCGAAAGUAUUUUGUUAAAAAAAAUUUUUUUUCUAAUUCACUACGUCGAGUUUAAACUCUUCCCUUCAUUUUAGUUAGUUUACAAUAAUAAUGUCGCUUGCAGUUAAAACAAAUUGAUGAUAAUUGUGUAUAAGUGAAGUUUUUUUAUCAGAGCGAAAAAAGUGAAGCUUUUUCAACGCAUUUGUUUCUCAAAUAUAAUAUUUCAUCUUUUAUUUCAUGAUGUUCCUUUAUUUUCUUCUUUUGACGAGCUUAAGAAUUAUACUUUCAUCUUCGUAUCAAAAUUGAAAGAAAUUGAGUAACGCAAGAUAUCUUAUGAAAUGUCAUCCACAAUUGAUUUGGCUUUUAGAUGUGUAUUUUGUUCUUAAAGUCUCUGACUCCGUCUCUACAAAUGAAGCCUUUUUCCUUAGGAACUAAUGAUUUCCUUAAGAAUUUUACUUUGAUGUUAGGUUAUGGAUACCACUUUAGCAAGCCAAAUUAACAUACCCCGUAUGCGUUUUAGUUUUUUCACGUAGCAAUGCAUGAUUGCUCCAAACGUCGGAGGAAUAAAGAAUGUAUUCUCUAAAACCAGGAGACUGCUGGUUACAAUUGCUCCUAAUGGUUCAAGUAGUUUUUCCUAUACAACUAUCAUUGUAGUUUGUCUGCAACAUAGCCUCUACAUAUUGUGCAUCAAAUGACCAUGAAAUUCUCAAAUUACAAAUCUUAUACCUUGCCGCUCGACUCUUAUUUUCGGCCACAAACUCGAUCGCGGCAAAUUGCCAAGAUAGAACAUACAAACUAGCUCCGAGCUUCAGCAAAGCUGGAGGCAAGCUAAUUAAGACUUGCCCAGCAAGCUUCCUAACUAAAGCUAUCGAUUUGGUGACACUUAUGAUGUCGUCAACAAUGUGAUCAGCAAUCCAGACAAAUAAGGUAUGUUAAUGUGGGCUUCAUCAAUAUGUAAACCUUUCAAAAUUUUGAUAACAAAAAUGGAAAGUUUUACACUUACAAUUCACGGUUUUCAGUCGGUUAUGCAAAUUCGUAUAUAAAUCACCAUUCAAUUUUUUUUAUUUUCACCAUCGCCUCAUUGUGAAGUUUUGAAAAUUAAGAUGAGACUUUCCGUUGAGAUUCUUGAGUGUAGAACUCUAUUUGACAAUGAGAUUAUCAACAUGCAGAAUGAGGCGAACUUCCGGGGUGCUCAGAUAGCAUAGUUAAUGAGAUUAUCAACAGCAUCAAAAGCUCAUACAUUCAUUCUGCUUGAUCAAGUUAAUACUCUUCAUAAUCAUUGUACAUAUAUAUUUGCAUUAAUCCAUGAUUUCAUUUCACCUAAUGCAUCUAGUUCCUACAUUCCUACUCCGUCUAAACCCUAAUAUUAAUAAACUUAAAUGACUGAUAUAGAAACAAAAAUCUCUUUUCCAAUAGUUCGAUACAGUACAUUGUAAGCCUUAAAACCAAUAGUUCCAACAGAAUCCUAGCAACCAGUGCAUCUUCCAAACUACGGUUUCGGGGUGUGGCGGUUGUUGGCGCCUGAUCCCGGGUAGUCAUUUAGCUCCACACCCAUCCUUUCACUGAUAGCUCUCUCAUUAUAGAUCUUCUCUGUGGUUACCUGUUUUGAAAAAUGAAAAUUAAGUGAUGGAAGGCUAGUAACUCAACACAUCUUUUCCCGGAGCGCUUCUCGUGAUACUUGUACUAUGAAUACAUGUCUAUUAAGAUCCCUAGAGGAUCCUCGCGAGUCGCGAAGAACUAUAAUAUCGAAAAUAUGGAGUAAUACCAGUUUGUUACUUCCUGCAAUUUGAUGAAGUUGAGGUCCAAGCUUUAGACUUCCAAUUCCUGCAUGUUGUAAAAAGCAAAUGAGAACUAGAUGGAGAAGAAUAAGAGAAGCAGAAAGCUGUUACAGGUUUUACUUGUAGCUGGGAUGGCAUUCAAGAAGAUAAGUUGAGAAAACCCUAGCAAGAUCACAAGCACAUGAAGGAGACUGCUUGCCAUUUUCUCUAUGAAGUUGGAUGUUAAUUGUCUUAAAGCUAUCACUACUCAAUUUAUACAACUCAAAAAAGCUGCCUUUCUAGACCUUUGUUUGAGUUGUUGGGAUUUGGAAAAAAUCAAAAGGGUGAAAGAGAAGAGGAGUGUAAAACUGGUGGAAAUUUACCCCAAAAUGCAGUGAGGUGGUUUGGAAAUUGUUAAGUGGGGCAGUUGAUUUUUAAGUGAAUGUGGUAGUGGAGGUGUCACAAAGGAUGAUGUCGUGGCAAAAUUUGAGCUCAAGGGUCUCAUGCACUAAAUUGUAGGUUAAGGUUUAGUGGGAGUCAUCAUCAUUGGACACAGCUGCACAAGGAUAUUCAAUGAAAUGGAAGAAGAAAUCACUAAAAAAGCAAAGCAAUAUGGACUUAGAUCUUUUGGGAUUCAUUUUAGUGGCAUGUCAACUAAGGGGUAGGGAAAACAAACAAGAACCACCAAAUGCGAUAGCAUGUAGUAUUGCAGUACAAGUACGACUUGUUUGAAAAAGAAAAAAAAAGUUGAAGAUGAUGACAUGUUUACUUGGAACAUACUUGUAUUCAAAUUUUCGAUUUUUGAUUUUCUCUAUGUUUGCUAACGCAUGGAUAUUAAAGUUAGUAUGAUUCAUGAUUUCACAUGGGUUUGCUCUUGAUUGAUGCUUUCACAUGCAUUUGCUAAUACUGUGACACUAACGGACUAAAAAAUUAUGUGACUCAUACAUUACAAUUUGUAACUCAAAAUCUGAAAAACAAAAAUUAAAUUAAUUAAGGAGUAGUUAAUCUCAUUUACAUUUCUUAUCUUCUUUAUUUAUGACUUUUUCAGUUCAUGACCUCUUUGUUGAGAGUGAAUUCCACAUAAAGGAGAGAGACAUUACAUAUGCUUAUAAUAGUUGGGUUACUUCGUAUAUUGUCAAAUGAUUUUAUGGUGAAGGCUCAACCUUCUCUAUGGUAUCAGAGAGCAGGUUGUUUUGUGUGUCAAGCCUAACUGCCACCGUGCUCCACGCCACCCGAUUUGUGUUAUUCACGUGUUAGACUUUAAAAUUCAUCACACAUGAGGGAGCACGUUGAGAGUGAAUCCCACAUCAGAAAUAAGAGGGAUGUUUUGUGUACUUAUAAUUAUGUAGUUGGAUUCAUGUUAUCAAUUGGUUAUACGGUGAAAGCUCAAAACUUUCUUUGCUCUUCUUAUUAUGAUUUAUUCUUCUUUCCAAGAAUAAGACACACAAUGAUCUGGUUGGAUGGUAAGUGCAGAACACAAUUAGAGUUGGCAACACAAUCAGUUUAACCAUUCAACUUCGUUCCGACUUCAGUGGACAUAUUGGGAUCAAGUUAUCAUGCUUUUAGUUUAAAUUGUUUGACUUUAUGAAUCACCAAUCAAACUUUACAAUGUGUUUGGUGGUGGGUCACUGCCCUUACAUGGUGGCAUGGUUACAGAUUUAUUAGGUUGUAAUUAAAGUAGUUAUUGACAAUGAAACAAACAUGGCUCAUGUAUUAGCCAAUUCCAAAAGGCAAUUAACAAAAUUAAUUAACUAAUUACAAUGUAAAGCUAAAAGCCUAAAGAUCCGAAAUGGGGCUGAGAAAGUAGAAAAGAUAUAUAAAGCAAGAAAGGCCUAAGGAUCCAUCCAGAAUAAUCACACCAUGCUUUCUGCUGCUUUUGCAUGCUUCAAAAUUUAUCAUGCUACAUUUUACUCAAACUUAGUCAAUCCUUUCAGAUGGGAUGCUGUCCGUUGAUGAUGUUUGUUUGAUCUCACCCAAUUCAGUCAGUCCUUUCAUGCCCAUGGGAGCAAUAUGUCACACACUUCACAUUGAGUUUAUGUGCUUAACAACUUACAUGGAGAGUUCACAUAAUCUUCUAUUUUUAUCAUUAGGGUGGAUCUUUCUUCUGGUUUAGUGUGUUACAUGAUGAAAGGGUUAAUCUGAUUUAAUCAUUGAGGUACAGGUUACACAAACUCAUGAUAUCUAAGAUUUCCUAUAGAUGAUGAUUGAUGUCUAGCAAAUAAUCAUUUUACAUCGAGAGAUCAAAUGGGGUCGUGUUAUACACGUCUUUUAAAUGAAAAGUCAUUUGUUAAAUUGAUAAGAAUUUUCACAUUUAGUUGUUAAAUACCUCAAUGACCUACUUUAAGAUUUUUCAGGAUCAUAUAAACUCAUGAUAGGUAAGUUUUUCUUCAGAAGAUGAGCAAUGAUUGGCGAGAUUUUUUCAUUUUAAUUUCGCGCCUUAAGUCAAUAUUUUUGCAAUUGUAUAAUGAUAAUGAUGUUUCGUUCCGUGUUUCAAGUACACUGAAAAAUCUCUUCAAAUAAAAUAACAAUCAACAAGCAAAAAGCUACAUGUAUCUGAAACAUAAAAAAAAAUUGAAAAGAAAGAAGGGGACUAAGAGAUUGGAGAAAUUUCUUCAAACCUUCCAUCCUAAUUUCAUCUUAAUCCUGUCCAAAUCAAAUGUGUGGUAUGUGCCUCCUAAUUGAAAAACAUGUUAGCGGAAAUCCAAACCGCCCACUGGGUAAUCCGACAUUAAACAAAUCAACUUUAACUACCUAAUUACACUUGUUUAAUUCUGAUUAAAAGAAAAAGUUGACUUGUUUAAUCAAUAGAUGAAGCAUGUGAUUAAAGUAAUCAAAACCAUUUGACCUUUAACACCGAAAGACCAAACCUUAGAGCAUUUUAAAGGAUUUAACAAAAAAUAUUUCUUUGAAGGUGUCUUUGUUAACCCAUUUGAAUUGUGACUUGGCACAUGUCCUCUUAACAAGAUAAAACGUAAACAAAAUGAUAAAAUAAAAAAAAAAAAACUAAUGAAAAUGGUUUGAAAACUUUGAGUUUUAAUGAUAAUGACAAAAUAAAAGGGAAAUGAAUAAUACAAAGAUUGAUUUUUAGUGUAAAAAUGUAAAUUUUUAUUAAAGUACCGAGAACUUUUCUUUAAAAUUUUUAAUAAAAAAAUGGGCAGCCUUCGCAUUCCUGGUCUGGUUGGGGGCCAGAUGGCUAUGUUUGGCCCCAGCUUGGUGAAUCGUAUCCAUGCGCAAACCCAUUGUGCGCCCUUUAUCGUUCUCCCACUCUUUCAACCAACUUUUUAGAUUUUAUUUUAAAAUAUUAAUAUCUUAACUUUAUUUAUUUUAUGAGAUCCAAUUUGUAUUAUCAAACACUUUAUUAAUAAUAUUUUAAAUAAAAUAGGUUGCGAGAUCUAAUUUGCUAACUUAAACAAAGUAACAACUGACCUUAUAAGCAUGUAAGAUCAAUUAUUAAUUCUUUAAUUUGCUAACUAAGUUGUUAUCUCCAUUAAAAAUUUAUUUUUACUACACAACAUAACAAAACUAACGUCGUCAAAUGCUGCUUUAUUUGGAGAUACUCUUAUCUUUUAACUUUUUAUACCUAGGAGGAUCAUCGCCAAAUCCUAUUUAUGAGGAUCCUAGAGAUCCUCCAAUCACAUAUGUUCAUCUUUCAUCGUACGGUUAGAAAUCAUUGUAAUUUUUUUAACUUAAAAUUGAAUAUAAACAGUAAUUGACAAAAACUGACCGCACGAUGUAUGAUGAACGUAUAUAAUUAGAGGAUUCGGCAAGGAUCAUCUCUCCUUUAUCCCGGAAAGAACUUUUCUCCAUAUCUCUUCCACCAGGUCACCAAAUCAAAUGAUCCGGGCUUUGAAUUUUCAUCCAACGGCCCAUAUGUUUUGAUCCCUUAAAAGCUAUAAUAAUUUUUUACCGUUGAAUGAAAUUUCAAAAGCCCGAAUCAUUUGAUCUAAUGAUCUUGGUAGGAGAGAUCUGAAGAUGAUAUCUUUCCCUUUAUCCCUACAUUAAGAUUGUACUAAAUCAUAUUUUUUUUUACUUUUAUAUUGCUUAAUUUUUUGGAAUAUUAAAAAAAUUAAAAUGUCCACUAAUUGGAUUUGGUGUCAUCCUUUGAGAGCUCUGCUUAGGUAAAUUUUUAGUUGUGACGGAAAUACGAAUGGUACACGAUGCGUUUUUAUGUUAGUGGUGAAAAUUUUUAAUCUUUAAGUUAUUAAUCUUUUAAUACACGUAACCACUCAUUUAUAUAGGAACACGUGGAGUACCAUAUUAUGUGAUGAUCAUACUAAAAAAAAUUUCCUCUGCUUACGUACAAGUUGGUCAAUGGUAUACGCGUGUCAUGAGCUAGGAUACGUGUUGGUCAUCUACGGGAGAUUGUGGAGAAAUUCUGCAGGCUUUCAACUUUGAGCUUUUUGGGGUGGGACCCAUUGAAAAGUUUCUGCAGCUGGUGUGGCGACAAACCUGGUUCUAAUCUGAGAUUAAAUAUUUAGUCAGCAAGAUAAAUGAAAUAGAAAAUAUAUUGAGUUGCCUUAGAGUCUUCAUACACAAGUAAUUAAAGAGAUUAAAUUACAUUAUCGCUUAGAGUAUUCAUAUAUUUAGUUUACUUUUCACACGUUUCUUAUAAUUUAGGUUAUUUGAUCUUCUUCAACUCGUUCAAUCCGACGGUCAAAAUUUAAGAAGGGAGGGUGGGAUGUGUUAUUCAUACACCCCAAAAAAUAAUUGUACUAAGUAUGUUUGCAAUCCUGUGUUUUUUUUAUGGAAAGGUACAAUUUAUUAAGAUGCCAAUAAAAUACGUAUAAGAGGAUAAGACAUAAAAAGUAAGCGAAUCUCUGAAGAAUAAAAAACUUUGUCGGGAUUUUCAAACCGGAAACAUAAAAAAAAGGCCAUCAUUAUAGAAUAAAAGAGAACAUUGUAAUCACUGAGUAAAACUAUUUUGAAUCAAGAUGUUUGCUACAUGUCCGGUGGUCCUUCAAAUUAAGCCACCUCAUGUUGCUCUCCAGUUCCUGCUCUUUCAAGCCUAUGUGAUGCCUGAUUUGCUUCUCGUCUAACAUGACUUAAGCUUGAAUCGAGAGAAAGCUUGAAGAAAUAAGCGACUGUCAUUAAAUAUUAGGAAAACUAAUGAAAAUAGUUUGAAAACUUUGAGUUUUAACAAUAAGGACAAAAUAAAGAGUAAAAUGAAUAGUACUAGGAUUGAUUUUUUAGUGUAAAAAUGUGGUUUUUCGUUAAAGUGAACAGUAUCAGGAGCUUUUCGUUAAAGUUCUCUUAAUUAUUAAUCCCAUCCCAAAUAGAGGUGUCAUCACCUUGUUGGAUAGCAGCUAUUGCAAGGAUAUAAUCUCCUUCAAAUUCUACUUUAGUAACUCGCAACUCCUUUACAAAUAUGACAACCCUUCUAACAGCACUCAACUCUGCUUGCAAUGGCGAACCCCCAAACUUUAAUUUGAACUCAAUUUGCAGCCAUAAUUUCUUCCUUCGUCAACAUUGUCGCCUACAAGACACAUAAGAGGGUACUUUAAACAAUUUCCUUGCAAGAAAAUAAGAAAAGUUGACCCAACCACUAUGAAUGAUACCUCGAAGAGUUAAGGAUUAGUAAUCAUUUUCAGAAAUCGAAUGGAUUCGGUCCUAUACAUACGCGAGGAAUGUAAUAAAAAAAUUUAUUUUCAUUCCACUUAGCCCUAUCCCUCUCUAGGGGUAUUUUAGGUAUCGUUUGGUACGUGUGACGGGAUGGAACGGAGUGAGAUGAUGUGUUUCAUCUCGUGUUUAGUGUGCCUAAAACGGGUGGAACGUGUUGUUCUACGGGACGAGUUUUGAGUGAAUUUUCGUUCCGUCUCACCCCUGAAACGACUUGUUCCACAUCCGUGGAACACAAAAUUAUAACAUCUUCAUCUCCUUCUUCCUUCUUGUUCCCAUUCGAGGGCAUCUUUGCUCCCUUUCCGUUCUGUCCCGUCCCGUCCCAUUCCGUUCCGUCUCAUCCCAUCUGCAUACCAAACGAUACCUUAGUGAUGGAUGUUAUAGGAACUAGACAAUCUUAUUUGGUCAAGUUGUAAAAACUUGUGAACAAUAAAAAAUUAUGAAAUUAUAUUAUCCUUCGACAAACUGCAUGUACUAGAUAAAUGAAUUGUUAAUUACGCGACUAAAGAUCUGAAAAUAAAUUCAACGACUAAAGAUAUGAAUGUUAGCAUAUAUCGGUGCAUACUAAAAAAUUCGUAACAAUACGAGGAAGAAAAAAUAUAGAAAAUGUUAUUGACACUUCAAAAAUCUCAUUUUACACUCAUCAUAAGUGUAUUUUUCUUUCCUAAUAUAGAAAAUUUGAAGUGUAGAAUAAGAUUUUUGAAAUGCUUCCCAGAAAGAUACAUAUCUCUAAUGGUAGCACCGAAUUUUCCAUGCACCCAAAGGAAAGUUGACAAGGGAAAUCUGGAGGCCACGAGAACUUGUGGCUGAGAAUCAAACGCCACGUUGUGACGUGGCACCCACUUCCAGCUAAGUUUAAACAGAUCAAAAUCGUAGACGACGUUUUACUACGGCCAAUGCCACCACGACUCUCACCCAAAAGAAACGAAAAGGAAAACACUUCCAACGCUCGCGCCUCUUUUUCCACUGUUUGGCUGCCGAGAAAAUGCUGGAAACUAAGGACCCCGCGAUCAAGCUCUUCGGGAAGAAGAUUGCCCUCCCCGCCGACAUCGAAGACUUGGGUUUUGCUCGGCCUGUAGAGAAAGAAGUGGAGGUAGAGUCAGAGGAGGAGGACGAAGAAGAAGAGGAUGAAGAGACAGAGCAGGUAACAGUUUGUAACUCAGAGAGAAAGUUCUUGUCUAAAUUUUUGUUUGGAUUCGACCCUUUUGUUAAAAUGCUGAGAGCUUUGAAGGGUCGAGCUUGUUUUCUUGAUUCGUUUUCAUUUUUUCUAUUUUUGUUUGAUUUUUUGAUCCUGUUUAAUUAACUUCAUAAAUUUUAGCAGAUGAAAGAAUCAGGGAAAGAAAGUGGAAAUUCUGAGCCUUUUUUUUCCAGUUGAAAGUUGAAAUCGAAAAUUUGUUGCCUUUUGAUUGUUUGAUUCAAUUUUGUUUAUCAAUGAAACGAUUUUCAAUCAAUGGAUUUCACUCCAGCUUUUGGAAAAGUAUUAAAUUUGAUAAGUUUUAUUACUUCUUUGUUUAAUAAUUUUGGUUAAUUAAGUCCAAUUUGCAUGUAGCUAAUUAGAUUGUUUUUAAGUGUGACUGCAGAUAAAAAACUGUGAAACUGUUUAUGCUUCUUGAUUUUCUCCUAAUUAAGCAGCCAGAUUUUCAGCUGUGAGAUUUAUUUAUUCUUCAAAUGAAAGAAAUCUGGAAGGUUUUCUGUUGAUUUUCUAAGCUGUUGUUUUCAUUAAUCUGGAAAUAUUACCCGAUUCUAAAUCGUACUUGUAAAAUUUUCAGGAUUCGCCAUCACGAAAAUCGACUGAGAGCAUAGAACAAGAUGAUGGUUCUCCUCCUAAAACUGAAGACCCUGCAAAUCUGGAAAUAUUACCAGAUUCUAAUGUGAACCCGAAGACACCAUCAACAGAUGAAGCAAGUGCGCUAUCGAAAACUGCUCAGACAGAGAAAGAACCGAGUACCGAAAACUCGGAAGAGAAAGCCCUGAAGAAGCCUGACAAGAUACUUCCAUGCCCCCGCUGCAAUAGCAUGGACACUAAAUUUUGUUACUACAACAAUUACAAUGUCAAUCAACCGCGGCAUUUCUGCAAAGCCUGUCAAAGAUACUGGACUGCAGGCGGUACCAUGAGGAAUGUGCCUGUGGGAGCUGGACGUCGCAAAAACAAGAACUCUGCCUCACAUUAUCGCCACUUCACCAUUACCGAGGCUCUUCAAGCAGCUCGGAUUGAUGCUCCAAAUGGAGCUCACCACCCUGCAUUAAAAAGCAAUGGUAGAGUCCUGAGCUUCGGAGUGGAUGUACCUAUUUGUGAUCCUAUGGCUUCUGUUCUAAAUCUUGCAGAUAAAAAUGUUUCAAGUAGUACUCGAAAUGGUUUACAUAAAGGUGAAGAACAGGUAUUUCGAGCUCCUUGCAAAUCUAGGGAAAAUGGUGAUGAUAGCUCCAGUGCAUCUUCUGUAAAUGUUUCAAAACCACACUUGGUGAAUGUCAAUGGGUUCUCUUCGCAAAUUCCUUGUCUUCCUGGUGUUCCCUGGCCUUAUCCAUGGAAUGCAGCAGUUCCCCCACCGGCUUUUUGUCCUCCAGGAUUUCCUCUAUCAUUUUGUGCUGCACCUUAUUGGAACUGUGGCGUGCCUGGCACCUGGAACGUUCCUUGGUUUGGUCCACAACCCGCUACUCCAAACCAAAAGUCUCCCCACUCUAGUUCAAAUUCUCCAACAUUGGGGAAGCAUUCGAGGGAUGAGGACGUUGUAAGACCAGAGAAUCUGGAGAAGGAAGAGCCAUCAAGACAGAAAAAUGGAUGCGUUUUGGUUCCGAAAACAUUACGGAUUGAUGAUCCAAGUGAAGCUGCAAAGAGUUCAAUAUGGGCAACGCUCGGGAUCAAGAACGAUUCCAUCAGUGGCAAAGGACUGUUCAAGGCCUUCCAACCAAAGAGUGAUCAAAAGAAAACUGUCCCUGAAACCUCCCCCGCAAUGCGAGCAAAUCCAGCUGCAUUGUCUAGAUCCCUCAACUUUCACGAGAGCUCAUGAAGUAGCUAGCUAGCCAAGUAGCCAUGAGUUUUGACAGGUACCCCAUCCAGCUGAGGCCAUUUUAGUUGAGCUGGUCGAAUCGGGGAUGCAGAAUUGGAGGGGCAGUCUCUACUCUCUAGGGUUCCUCAGUAUGAUAGGGGAACUAAUGUAGGAUAAAGCGCUUGUGGGAGAUUGGUUCCCACUAGGAUAAAUCUCUAGUGGCAACUAUUUUUGCCUUCUUGCGCUAUGCACAGGUCCCUUCUGAUGUACUUAGUUUUUCUGAGAUUAUGUCCAUGUACGUAUCUAUGUCUCUAUAUAUGUGAAAUACUAUGAUAGAAUUGGUUGGAGAUCCAAAGAUCUUUCUAUUCUCUCUUUUCUAUUUUCUUGGGGGCCAAGGAAAAGAGCGUUCUACAACAGAGAUGCUACUAUGGCAGUAUUUUAAACUAAUCAAGAAGUGUUGUGUUUGACUCUUGUAAGUAAUACUAGUUUAUUAGUUUGAGAUACCGUCACAGUGACAUUUCCAUUGUAGUUAAUCUGUUGAUCCAUCCAUGCCUUGGUGGCUACUCUUGUGGGGCAAAAAUGGAGAUGGCGACAAACCAACAAAAUUGUUCUUUUUAGUCCCUUUCCCUUUGUAAGAUAAGCUUGAAUUAAAUUCCUAGCAAGGGCCAAAUUGCUUUCCUUUUCACCACCAAAGGAUCUGAACAACUUGCACAAAAGUUCGGUUGCAGACUGUCCGAUAUUAUCUUGAUCUCCUUUUUCUCCCUGUUCUCUUUUGAGAGAUUUUUCAGUGUGUGUUUGGAAUACAGGAUGAUACAAUACAUGUUAUUAUACAAUUGAAGGAACAUUUGGAGGAACAUGCGGUGUACUGUCCUAUAUUCCGGAUACACUAAAAAAUUUCUCGUACUCUUCUCGUUUAGAAAACAAUUAUGUUCAACCACUAAGAAAUAAUAAAUCAACACAAUUAUAGAAGCCAAAAAUUGCCAACCUACAUAAGAAGGAAAUUUUGAAACAAUGCCAUGGUAUGGUAUUCUACCAAAGAGUCUUGUAUCGUAGCUUCAAUUCUCAAUUAUGCGUUCGUGGUCUUUUUAGCAAAAAUUGUCUCGUAUAAAUUGAUGCUAAAAAAAUCAUAUUUUUUUAACACAUAACGGGAUAAUUUGAAGCUAUGAUCAAAGAUUCUGGUAACCUUAAUACAUGUGUUCAACCCUCGAUUUGAUUUUAUAAAUAUAUAUGUUUGAUUCUUUUUUCAUUGAUUUCUAUAAAUAUAUAUAUGUUCGACCCUUUAUUCAAGUCUAAACGACUACUCGUUAAAACAAGUCAUCUCAGACAUAUGCCUCUCACUAGCCAGUGACAGAAACUGGGGAUGUUUCUCCUUUGAUAAGAAACUACGGAUGAUAGGAUUACUUGGUGAAAUACAUCUUUACCUAAUUUCUUUGCAAAGCAAAUCGUUAGAUGCAUCAACAUCACAGAUAGAUGUGUCUCUCAAAACAAUCACCAAUUAAAAAACACACAGAUAUUUGGGUGCAACAAGCAAAUGCAGGCCGCAUUUUUUGGUAAAGAUGAGUUGUUAUAUGGGACCCCAAUUCCACACAUAAUGCCAUGUAUAUUUUGGCGUUCUCUAUCUCUUGAUCUGAAGAGCAAUUUAUACAGUACGAGUUCGAUGUUAUAUGGCGUUUUGAUCUGAUGAUGCAAUGCUAUGUGGAGAGGAAUUUAUGCAUAAUAUUGUGUUAUUGAAUCAAACGCAAUAAUAACGAUAAAUCUGUUCUAUAUAAGUCAUUAUCCUGUCUCGCUUUCGCUUUUCUAUUUUUUUCUUCCUUUUUUGCUCUUUUCCUUCAUCAUAUACGAAAGCAAUUGUCCCUCUAUUUUCAUCCAUAUGCCUAAUUUUAAUGCUUGUCUGGGAGACAAAAGAAGAUACAAUGACAGAAGGUUUUUGAAUAUUUUCUGGAUCACAACUCUCUAGCCAUAUGGUUUUUGAUUUUUAAUGUCGACUAGAUAUUGAACACAACCUUAUAUCUACAGUGCAUGGAUAUGAACAGGGAGAUACAACACGACACGACACAGGGAUACGUCAAAUUAACAAGAAAAAUUAAUUUAUGAUCACAAGAGAUUACAACAUGACACAAAGAUAUGACACAACACGAUAAGGCACUGGGAUACGAGAGGAUACCACCAUGAUCUUGCAUUGCACUCUUACAUGUUCAACUUUAUUGAGGAUACAAAAUUAUAGUGGCAAACUUGGUAAUGUUGCUAAAUAAUGGUGUUUCCAAAUAUGAGAAAUUGAGCCUUCCUUCUAACUAAAAACCCAAAAAGGUCUCUUUGUAGAGAACUGAAAAAGGAAGAGAAAAGGUUUGGUUAAGUCAUGUCAUUUAAGCUCCAACAGACUAACAUGGAGCUCUUCCAUUUUUCUUAAAAACCUCCCUCUCAAGGCUUGACAAUAUGACUACAUUUUACAAGGGAAAGAGCAAAAAGAAAGAAAAACUCUUAUAAAAAUCUUAAUCCCUAGUCUAAUCCCAUCACUAAUCCUCUCACCUCGAAUGCUCAUGCCACUCGUCCGUGCGUGCACGAAGUGACUCAUUUAAGUAUUCAAUCAAAUUCUUUUUUUAAUGAAACGAUAAUAAAGAAUUAGGCAAGUCGAACUACACAAAACACUUGAUUGCCGGAUUAUAAUAAUAGCCUUACUAUCUAAACCUGCACAAGAUGAUUAAUAGGCUAGAUUAAGCAACAACGUAUCAUUUAGUAAUUGAUUAAUGCUGAUAUUUGAGUAACAGAAUGUCAGGUUAGGUAGAGAGCCACUUGUAAUUGUUUUGCUCAUUUUUUUUAAUCAUGGUGGAUUCUUAACAAACCAACCAAGUCUUCUUGCAUGUUAAUUAUUACAGCACCAAGUUACAAGUUACAUGUAGUUUUACCAUCUCCCAUUUGGCUCAAUUCAUAAAUUCAUGUCCUCUUCCUUGGAAGGAAAAAAAGUGGAUUAAAAUUGUAGGUUUACACCUCCAUGUUUAGGUGAUUUUUAAAAUGAAUCGUGACGGUUCAAUUUUCUCAUAUUAUUCAUUUUCUAAGAUUUUGAAAUUGUAUCAAUUAACAUUUUUUGGAUAUUAGAUAUUUGAACGUUUAAAUAUCCGUUAAGUUGAUGAGUUUUUUAGUUAAUAUGAUGCAAAUGAGUUUACAUGUAAUCGUAAUUAUGGAUUUCAUCCUCAUUAUGUUAUUAAUUUACUGAAGAUUCAAAUAAUUCGUUAUAAAAAAUGAAUAAAUUAAUACAAUUUUAAAAUAAAAAGUGUGAAAUUUUGUUUAAAAAAACAUGUGUGAACUGUAUUUAGCCCAAAAGGUCAAGCUCAUUGAAUUUUAAAAGUGGCUUUUGGUAUGAUGGGAGUCAUUGUCAAUCUCCCACUAUUCUAGUGCUCUUUUUAUUAUCAUUCAAAGUCAUCCAAGUUGCAUAGAAUGAGGGGAAAUUUGGCUUUACACGCAUAGUGAUUUAUCAAAAGCAGUACAUUAAGUAUAAUAAUAAAAAUUUGAAAACUUAAUAAAAAAAAAAAAAUUCCAACUAAUUUGGUAUACAGGCCUGAUUUGGUACUGAGGUGAUUCUGAAAAAAACUGGUAUAAAAAAAAGCUGAGAGCUGUUUUUUGUGUUUGGUAAACAUUUAGCUUCAGCUUUUUUUCAUAGUUUUGUGUGAAAAAAAAACCAAAAACAAGAAACUGUUGUAAAAUCGACGGUGGGUGCAGUGGAAUAAAUGAAACAAGACACAAAAUUUACGAGGUUCCUCUACAGUCAGUGUGACUGGAGUACGUCCUCGGGGCAGCUGUGAUGCUUUCAUUAUAAUCUGAAAUAAUAGGAGUACAAAGAUAACUCUCUCUAUUAUCUCCUCUCAUCUUCCUCUAUUCUCUCUCUUCCUCUUCCUUUCUUCCUUUUCCUUCUUCUCUCCCGUGAACCUCACUCACUUCAUUCAUCUUCUUCCUUUAUAUAAACAAAAGAAAGCACUAUUCACUUUACAAAUUUUCCACAAAUGAAUAGUGAAAAUACUGUGCAUAAAUAGUAACAAACUAUUCAUGUGGACCAUCCACAUAAUAUUUACAACACUCCCCCUUGGAUGGCCACAAGUCUUCGAUUGACUCGUUAAAAUCUUGAUCUGUCUUGGAUGCUCCCCCUGAUGAGUAUCUCCCCCUGAUCUCAAAUCAUUUAGGUUGAUCGUUGAUUGUUCUGCUUUAGUCCCUUAGUAAGAAGAAUUGCUAAAAGAGUUGCUUUACUUAUUGUUAACUUUCCACAGCCUUUUUCUUGAACUGGGUUGUAGGACUUUCUGCUAGACUAGCAUUGAAGAUCGGAAUUUACUCCUUUUAUCUGGAGCGGAAUUUGAUUCAAGAGUAAUGAACACUUGAUCUUGAAUCGGACUUGUAAUUUCUUUAAGGACCUUCGAAGCUGGAUCUUGAAUGAAAUUGGACCAUGAGGAGCUUCAUGUGGCAAGUGAUCUUCAGUUUUGUCAGGGAUGAAUCAGCACGCGUUUGUUGCGCUUGUCUCCACAUGCUUCAAUGUAUCAUUUUUACUUUCCUUACUUGCUCCCCUUGCUUAAGUAGUAUUUUCCCUGCUUUUCCCCCAUGCAUGUGUGGCAUCUUCUCCGGCAGUAUUUGCCCUCUAAUGCCGGAGUGGAGUGCAACCCUUGCAUUUGGAUGGUUCAUCACUUCUUGGUGACUGGAGACCCAGCUCCAACCGUUGAAGAUGACUACUCGAGAGCAACAUUAGGUAAGCAAUCAGGAAAGGUUCCAGGCAGUCGGUUCCUUACCGGGAGUUUGAGUGGAGGUUUCGACAUAUUGCUUUCUUUAUCCUUGUCUUCGCAGGCAAGAACAUGGACAAAGGAAAGGACAGGGAGAUUGCAUGAUAUGAGAUAAUCUUGCUCUGGUCCCUGAAGAUAUGUGAUAAUCUUGCUCUGGUGUGACAUGUUUGAAGAGGUAUUCUCGGAGAGGAAGAAAACUGAGUAUUUCGAGAUGCUAUGUUGAAGAUGCAUUCUCGGAGAUGAGGAAGAGUUAGGUAUUCUUGCAGAGUUGCAGGUCUGCCUUGUUAUGAAGAACAGAGGUCGACAUAUAUAGAGAUUUCCCAAUAGCAAGUGGUGGUGCUGUGCUUUUACUCUUGUCAGCAACUGUGGUGUAAAUAGAACAGUAAGAUUUAUUUACGCGGUUUCAAACUUUGUCAGAGAUCUUUGACAAAAUUGCACGCGACAUCUGAAAAAGUUGGGAUUACGUCUGAAAAAUGCCAACGAACUUUAUUCAGGAAAAUCUGGCUUUUGAAAUUCGGAGAGCGGUGCCUCUUCGAUCUUUGAACAAGUGGCUCUGCUGCCUCUUCUUUUAUAGAGACAUCAAUUGUGUUCAAGGGUAUGCUCAGAAAGUUGCUGCCUGAGAAAUUUCCCCCUUCUUGCAUUUCUGAAAUUUUAUUUGACCUCUGUUUUUCCUUCAUCAUUUCUGAAAAUGACUUGCCCAUCUAACAUUUGCUUAGAUUUGAGUCUUAGGAGUGAUACAGACGAGCAGCGUCAUGAUAAUAUAUGGCGCCCGUCCUUCUUAUCUUCUAAUGGUCCUCUUACGGUUGGGGACUCUGUGAUGAAGAAUAACAUAACUGCUACUGUGGUAGCUAGGAAUCUUCUCACUCCAAGGGAUAACAAGAUCCUUUCAGAACGGUCUGAAGAGUCGGCCGUUCAAGACUCAUUGGCUCUCAGUGUUCAGUGUGCUGGCUCUGUUUCCAAUAUGGGUCAACGCCUACUUGCUCAAACUCGCCAAGUUGAAUUAUUGAUGGCGGAGGUGGCAAGUCUUAAACAAGAGAUCAGAGGGCUCAAACACGAGAAUAGGGUGUUACACGUGCUUGCAAAUAGUUACUCUACGAGCAUGAAAAGAAAGCUCGACCAACUGCAGGAAUCUGAAAGUCGAAUUCAAAGUGAUCACCAGAGGUUUGUUGCUAGAUUCCGAAAGCAACUGAUGCCUUCCCCUUCUGGUGUUUUGCUAAGUAUUGGGGUGUCACAUGAUCAAUCUCCAGUGCCUCCUCCUUCUGGGGUACUUCCGAGUACUGAGGCUGCACAUGAGUAACCUUUGUGAAGGCUCCAUCCUGUUUGUUUAUUUUAACUCAUGUGUAUGUAUAUAUCUGUAAUUUCUUGGAGAUAUUAAUAAAUAAGUUUUAUUUCAUUCAAUGUAUUGUGCCAAAUACAAUAAAGCAUAUACUUCACUAAGAUGUGGUACUUCUGGACCAAGUAUUAAUUUAUCUUUACCCUCACGAAGAUAAAUGAUUAUUCUUAGUGUCUUCAUCAUAUGAGUAUUCAACUCAUAAUCUUCAAUCCAUAUGGUUCUUUUAAUAUCAUAAAUAUCAUGGAUAAGAUUCGUGUUGGUAGAUUGUUCGAUCUGCAGCUCGAAACAAUAAUUCCUUCAACACUUUAUAAUUUUUCUAGACUCUUCAGGAGUCCCAAUUUAAUAUCAUCAACUCUUCAAGAGUUAUAAUGUAUUGUCAUUGACUCUUGCAAGAGAUUUUAGUAUGUUGCAACAAUAUCAUAAUGAUAGUACUCACUAAGGCAAUUUAUAUCAUCCAUUGAUAUUGAGUAUAUAAUUUAUGCUUUACCCUUCGGGGGCUUACUUCAAGCAAUUUGAAUCCUUCAGGGAUUUUCUACACUUCAUGACACAUUUUCCUUUGGAAUUUAUACAGAGCAAUUUGCUCCCAUGUAUAUUUGAGGGAUUUACUUAUGGAGAUAUGAUGUGGGUGACUCACAACCCUUCAUAUAUAAUUCUCCAUUUAUAUGAACUCGUUUACAACCUUGUGUCAUAUCAUGUAAGUGUAUUACACUGUAUUACAAAUGCUCAUAUAUAACCUCAUUGGUUCAACAUCUUUUGGCUAUUUGUAUUACAUUCAAAUAUAUAGGUCCAUUUUUCCACGUUCUUACAAAAUUGUAAUGGAAUUGCCUUUCUCCAUUUUGGCCAAUAAUUUUUCUUUUGUCGACGAACAAAAGAACGUGACUCAAUAUUAACACAUCUCAUUGAUGAAUUUAGUAGCUACUUGUAAAAACCAAAAUUACCAUUGGUUAUCAUCAAUCCGUGAUCCCAUAUUCUCAUGUGCAUGCGCAUGCAUAAAAGCUUUUCAUUUCUUUGGAUAUCCAUUACCUCUUCAAGGGCAUGACGCUAUCUCUUCCAGGAUAGUCAUAAUUGAGAGAAUGUGGAUCAUAACCUCCUCUUGAGCGUUAUAGAGCUUGGAUUUUAAUCUCCACUUCCGGGAGUUGAGUCAUUGGAACCUAUAUGUCUAUUAUGCUUCAUGUAUGAGACAUCAACAUUCUCAUGUCUGUGGAUUGUCCUAUCUGGGACGUGUAUCCAUGCGGCGACUGUCAUGCUUCUGGCAUGCAACAGUUAUGCUUCGGGAAUGCAAUAGUUCAGUAGUGCCAUAUUAUUCUUCUUUCGAAUAACUGAACCUUUUGAGUUUAAAAAUCUGCCACGCUUCAGGCGUGCAACAGAUAAAUCAUUUAUUGUCUCAUUAUUUUAUCCAACAGAGACAUCAAUUCUUGUAGGCACAUUUGCAGUAAGUAUAUAUGAUUUCAUCACUUUCGUUGCAUCAUUCAAUUAUUCAUAUUUCAUUUUCUUAUUGAUUGCUUCGUGAAUCAAAAUAAGACAAAUUCUCUUCGUUCUUCUGAAACGGUCUUUUCUCAUCAUUCUUUUGGAAUGAUAUUUUCUCAUCGUUCUUCUGGAACGAUAUUAUUUUCUCCCCCUAAUGGCAGGAAAAUUGUCUUAUCAAAAUGACAGUCCGCAAACCAUGCGGUAAACAUAUCCCCAAUCAAGAAUUCCAAAUAUUGAAUGAUAGAUGGUGUUCAACAUCAAUGCCUAAUCUGCAAUGAUGCCCCAUUUCAGUACGUUGUGGCAGUCUUACAGGCACAUAGACAACACAACCAAAAACUCGUAAAUGUAUAAUGUUUGACUAGUUCCCAAACACGAGUUGUACUGAGCAAUAUUGAUGGUUGGAAAUUGGUCUCAUCCGAACUUAAUAAUGCGUCAUGUAAAAUGACAUGUCCCCAUGUAGAAAACUGGUAAUUUCGUUUUCAUGAGCAGAGCGCGGGUAAUCAAUUUCAUCCGCUUAAUAAAUGCUUCUGCUAAACCAUUUUAAGUAUGGACAUAAGGAACUUCUGGUCCUUAUUAAAUAGUUUAUGAACUGAAACUUUUAUGACAUUUAUUAUAAUUAAGUUGAGGCACUGUGGCACUUCAAACUUAAGGCACUCAUCAAGGAAUUUCAUGUCCUGAUCGUCAGGAUCAAAGGACUUCAUGCCUGAUCUUUUUGUAUGAUGGAACUUCGGGUCCAAUCAUUUUAUAUGAUGAUGAUCAAGAAACUGCAGGUUCUGAUCUAAUCAAGGAACUCUGGGUCCUUGUUAUACUCAUUGUAAUAAAAGAUAAGUACAAUAAAUAAAUUAAAGCAAUAGACGGUAAUUCCAACCAUAAUGAAUAAACAGCAUUUAAGUAAAUAAAGCUUAUGACAAGGGCUUUAAUUCAGCACCAUCAAAACUUAAAGCAAUAGGCGGUAAAACCGUCCAUGGUAAAUAAAUUGCUUUAAAGUAAAUAAAGCUUGUGACAAGGGCUUUGAUUCAGCACCAUUCAUAUAAAUAUCAAAGCUUUAAAGCAAAGGGUAAUAAUUCUACCCACUAUAAAUAAAUUGCUUUAAAUAAAUAGAACUUGUGACAUGGGCUUUAAACCAACACCAUGCACAUAAAUAUGCCAAAACAGAAAAUGCAAUGAUUAAGUCCUCAUGUUUUGCUUUUCAUUUUCUUGGUCUGCCACUUCUUUUGUUUCAUCCCUUUUAUUUUUAUUAUUAUUUCACAGUUCGAAGUCAUUUUUGGUUACUCAGUAAAUAAUAGUAACAAUAAGUUCCAAUUGGGGUUCCUCCUCCGGUGAGUUUCGAAAAAGUCGAAACGGUUCCCAUAAGUUUUGGAGUCAAGAGUGUCUGCAACUUAUGAGAAGAUCAAACCGUUAGAUUUAGUUCAAAAUUUAGUAUGAUAUGGAUAAGAGGAUACCAAACAACUUUCGUGAAGAAACAAUUUCGAUUUGAGCUACCGAAAUGGAGUUUUGGUACUCAUAAGGUGGCUGCCCAGUUUUCUGCGGAAAUUGGAAACUGGUUUGGUAUUUCAGACAUCUGCCACGAUCGCACCGUUAACAUUUUCUGAAAUUUUGAUAUGUUGUAGAUACUGAGCAGACGAACAACUUUCAAGAAGAAAGUAUUUCAAUCCGAGGUCCGCAAGUUGGAGUUCCGAGGCUAUUUACAUGGCUGUCAAAUUCUCUUACAAAUUUUUAGUCUUUUACUCUUUUGCUUCUGCAAAGGAUGAUAUACAGUCAUAUAACAAUAUAUAUAGUUGCUUCAAGAAAAUCAAUUGUACUGAGAUUUGAAGAUGAAAUGAAAAUUGUUUCUUAUCUGUGAGAUUCCAGCUGAAGGAGGUGAACAGGAUUUGUGGCGUUGUGCUUUCCACUGACAUGAGAGCUUCUCGUGCUGAUAACGUGUUGUAAAAUCGACGGUGGGUGCAGUGGAAUAAAUGAAACAAGACACAAAAUUUACGAGGUUCCUCUACAGUCAGUGUGACUGGAGUACGUCCUCGGGACAGCUGUGAUGCUUUCAUUAUAAUCUGAAAUAAUAGGAGUACAAAGAUAACUCUCUCUAUUAUCUCCUCUCAUCUUCCUCUAUUCUCUCUUCCUCUUCCUUUCUUCCUUUUCCUUCUUCUCUCCCGUGAACCUCACUCACUUCAUUCAUCUUCUUCCUUUAUAUAAACAAAAGAAAGCACUAUUCACUUUACAAAUUUUCCACAAAUGAAUAGUGAAAAUACUGUGCAUAAAUAGUAACAAACUAUUCAUGUGGACCAUCCACAUAAUAUUUACAACAGAAACUGCAAAACCCAGCUUUGAAAAACUGACUUUUUUCAUAUCUAUUUUACAUAAAAGUUUACCAAUCACUAUAAUACUGUUUUUUUUUUUCAAAAGCACUUUUACAAAAAAAUUUAUCAAACACUCUGCUGUUUUAUUUCACAGCCUAGCAGAAUCAAUUUUUUUUUUCAAAUAACAGCUUUACCAAACCAGAAUCGUGUUUUUAAUACACUAAAAAAUUUCUCCUACACGCAUGUAAGCGAUGGAUAACUGUUAUUACUGUUAAACAAGUACCUACCAAAAAUACGGGCCGUCUAUUUGUCUAGUGCGUCAAUGGGAAGAAGGAAGAAAAUGCUGAGACAAAAUUCUCAUAUAUUAAAAGGUAAGGGAUGACAUUCUGUGCAACUUGAUACAAAUAUUUCCCAUCCAAUUGGGAGACACAUAUAGCAAUGCUAGUCUCCAGUUUCCCCUUCUAUCUUAGGAUAAAUUCUACGACAAGUUACACAACAUCUUAAAUUGUCAUUGGAUUCUACAUCCCCCUGAAUCUUGUCCACGACGGACAUUGCCAUAGGCUGACAGUUCGAGAAGAUCCAUGUCACGACCUGCAUUUCAAAGCAAUACACUGUCACUUGCUACUAAAUUAGUUUGAAUUCAUCGCUGGAAGAACUUCCACAAGAUUUUGGGGUUUCUUGGGCUUACCUGAAACCCGACAAUAAGAACUCUUCUGGAUGAGCUCGGCUCUAGAAAACUCAGUCCGAUUUCCUUUUGAUCGAUUGACUGUUGCCUACAGUAUGCAAGAGAAGAUGAUUUUAUUAAGAGUAAGAUGUAACAUAUAAAAUUCAUGGCAAACGUCGGUUUCAAUCAUGAUCUGAAAUUUGAAUGCGACUGUAGAGUGCCAGACUUCAUAUGAAAGGAAAAUGAGACUUUGUGGAGAUCGGUCUAAGUUGUUAAGAAUCCUAAGAUAACUCUAGUAGUGUAGGUAUUUUGGCAGCCUUUUGAAGGUCAGCAAUAUAGAGUAGGAAUCUACUGUGUGCUAACAUCUACUGGUGAAGGGUUUCUAUGGAAUGGAGAUACCACCCAAAACCAAGAUACAAAAAUCGUGUAAUAGUCCAAGGUUCCAAAGAGGAAGGAAGUCCAUACCUGUAAGACCUGGCAAUUUUCGAGCGUACUUUGUCCUCCCUGAAAUGUGAAAAUAAAAAAGAUUAAUCCUCUCUCCGAAAGUAAUUUCAGGGAUCAGGAGCCUGGGGAAAACAAAAUAAAGAAUUACAUGUUCAGCUAUCAAGAUUAUCAUAUUAAAUUGGGAUGACACAGCAGCCCAUUUCUGAGCUCCUUGUUUCCUCUAACCAAGAGCAGCACAAAAGUCCACAGAACGAAACAUCUUUGGUGUUGGUUUCCAGACUUUGUCACAAAUUUGCGGCACCAAAACCAGUACAUUUAUGAGUUCACCAUAACUUUUCAAUCUGCACGAAACAGAUUGCAGAACAACCUUCUUCUUGAAAUGUGCUAAGUCGCUCCUUUUUCAAAACUAAUGUCUCAGCCAAUGCAUAUUCAUCACUGGAUUAUCUUCUAGUGCACUGUCAAUCGACUCAAUCCUAAUCAUUUGGAGCCAAGUUGGUAAAAAAUGCACCAGUGAAUCAAGCCUGCAUUACAGUCAGGUGAAAUGAUCUAGAAAAUGGGAUUGAAUCUCAAUAUUCCUCAAAGGCCUAAACAAAUCCUUCACCUAUAUUUGUAUCACCAUGAUUAACCAUAUUCUAUCACAGGCUAGUUUGAAUUCACAUAAUUCCACAACACUGGUCAUGCCACCCUGCCGCUCUCCACAUCUAUGGUCGCCAUCUAAAAUGAAAUUUGGGACCUCGUAGUCAUUCUGCUCAAUCAACUGCCAUAACAACUAACAAGACUCCAAUUUACCUUACAUGCAUUUUCCAUCAAAGGUGAGAAAAGCUUUCUACCUAAGCUUGUACUAGUACCUAUCACCUCCAGUAUCGUGCGUGCGUAUAUUCAAGUAGCAGUUUCAUAUAACCAUGUUCGCUUAUAUAAUAAGCAACGGCUGACUACAUAGCUACAAAAUAGCUCAACUUUGACAGCAGCAUUACUAAAUGUAUGAAAUUCAAUAGCACAAGCAUUUCCAAAUUGCAUCUUCUUUCCAUACAGAAUGCUAAAAAUUCCACCCACAGAAAUUAUAAGAUUCUAUGGGAAAAGCCACCAAACAAAAAGCAAAGAAAUUUGAAUUUGUAAAUAUCAAAUGCACCCCAAAAACAGAAACUCAAUUUCCAAAUCCAAAAGGAACCCACCUCACAAAACUCCAAUCACAAACCAAACCACUCAAAAAUCCAUAAAAAUGUGAAAUUUAGAGAGAAAGAGAGGAAUUUCACCUUGGAGUAAGGCACAAUGUGAUCAUAAUCAUGACAUAAGCAACCGGGGCAACCCACGAGCUUCCGAAAAAUGGUGUUUCCGAGAGGGUCACGGCGCCACCGGUCCGGGUCUCGACCUUUGAUCUUCUCCGCCUUGUCCCAGCACUGCUGCUUCACGCUGUACGGAAAGCUUCGUGGGUUGUUAUUAAAAGAAGAAGAAGUCGCGAGCUCUUCUUCGAAGCGAGUAGUGGCAGUGACGUCGGUGACGACGAGGUCCCGAUUGAGAAGAGCGGAGGCGCGAGGCUUCGGUGGGGAGCUGCUACGUCGUUCGAAACGGGCGGAGGGCGCGGCGGUUCGGUCCCUGAGUGGAGACGAAGGGCGGCUCCGCCUCUUUGACUCUUUGCUCGGCCUCAUCUUUUCUCAGAUCUUUUCUCAGAUUAUCACAAAACUGGAAAAUUUGGAAAAUUAAGCCAUCCGUAAAUGUAAAAGACGAUAAUACCCCUUAAUGUAUUUGUGAAUUGGUAGGAUAGAAACGACGCUAUCUAUUAGAGGAUUAAUUACAGCUGCAUUCCUUAAAACUCGAUUUCUUCUUACUUUAUUCUAUGAAACUCAAAAUGUCUUUCAUUUUGUCAUGAUAUGUGAAGAAGUUGAGAACGUUAUUAUCAUGGAAAAUGUGAGUGAAGAUGAUGAGGAUUUGUUCAUUUUUAUUUGUAUUGUGUGUUUGUUUGCCACCCGCUCACAAUGGGUGAGGCGCCCUACUAACCCUAGUAUGAUAGGACAUGUUUAACGUGACUUCACAAAAGCAGUGAAUAAAUUUCAAAUAUUAUGCCUCACUUGAUCAUAGCUCAAUCACUCAUCAAUCGUUUUAAUGUCCUGCUUAGUUACUGUGAACACGGAAAAUUCCUGAAACGAAAGAGACAAGAACAACGUGCACAAACAAAAUAUUAGUAUUUGAUGAUUUUGGGUUACAAUCUCUCUCUAAUUUGAUCCUCUGAUUCGAUCUCCGUAAGGUGUUGAUUUGUGGAUGUUUCGUUGAUCCAAGGGCCGUCGGGGCUUGAUCUUGGAUGAACUGUUGGAAGUUUCUUCAAAGGGCCGUGGGCUUGAUCUUUGAAGGUGGAUUUGAGCGGAUCUUCAAGGGCUUUUGGGCUUGAUCUUGAAGAAACAGUGAUGAACAGAUCUUCAAGGGCUUUUGGGCUUAAUCUUGGAUGAACUGUUGGAAGUUUCUUCAAAGGGCCGUGGGCUUGAUCUUUGAAGGUGGAUUUGAGCGGAUCUUCAAGGGCUUUUGGGCUUGAUCUUGAAGAAACAGUGAUGAACAGAUCUUCAAGGGCUUUUGGGCUUAAUCUUGGAUGAACUGUUGGAAGUUUCUUCAAAGGGCCGUGGGCUUGAUCUUUGAAGGUGGAUUUGAGCGGAUCUUCAAGGGCUUUUGGGCUUGAUCUUGAAGAAACAGUGAUGAACAGAUCUUCAAGGGCUUUUGGGCUUAAUCUUGAAGAACGGUUGGAUGUGUGGAUUUGUCGACGUUUGUUGAUCCAAAGGGCCGUUGGGGCUUGAUCUUGAAGGUGGAUGAUUGUUGAUCCAAGGGCCGUCGAGGCUUGAUCUUGGAAGAACGAUGAACGAAGAACGAAGAACACUUUCUUGAUUCUUCGGGAACCUGGAUGCUUGAGAGCUUCGGAGUUUCAGAGCUUCAGAGCUUCAAGGUGUAAUAUGAAUUGGUUCCUCAAAUGAAUGAAAUGGGCUUGUAUUUAUAGAAUUUUCCAAGGCCUAAUUUUGAAUAUAAUAUCCCAGAUGAAAUAAGUCGUUUCUGCCAGGUGUUGACACGUGUCCUAUUUGAUGACUUUUCCAACUCAUUUCAAUUUUCGUUGAGUUACACGCUACGUGUAAAAUUUAUGUAAUACAUGAGCGUUGACACUUUGAUUUAUCGGUCAAUACCGAAAUUUCGAUGUCUACAGUUACAAGUCUACGCUACCAGACUCAAUAGAAUUUGGUCAUUUUUACUUGGGAAGGAAGUUAGUGAUGAACAGAUUCAACGUCCAUUGUUUUUUUAGUUUUGUCCUACAAAAUCCCUUUACUAAUAUGGGUAAUGAGUUCGAUGACAUUGUAAAGGGCUCUUGCCCCAUUUUUUACCAUCGAAUUCUAAGAAGGUCUGACGAUUUUUCGUCGGCGAAGAUGGCGGGUCAUAUAAAAUUCAAGACUGAAAUUUCGACCUUGGAUAUAUUUUGGCUUCUUAACAUUGUGCUCACAAGUCUUCUCUCGGCAAAAGAAGACUUGAGAGAUUAAUUUAACUUCUUUUUCACACUUGAAAUUUCUCUGCAAUUUGGCCUUUCCUGCAUGGGAAUAUGAUGCAUGCAAAGACCUGGAAAUUUCCAUGACGUAACGACUGAUGCCUAAUAAAUUAACAAAGAAGAGACAACUAGUAGCAACUCAACAAACUUUCUCUGCAAUUUUGUAUGAAAUUUCCUUCACUUUCUCAAAAUUCCUUGGAAACUUAUAAGCAACUCUUUAGGUCUGUACAAACCUACCUCCGUUCUGCUUCCCACACUCAACCCUCAAGUCUCUCAACACUCCCAAGUCGUAAUUAAUUAAUUUACGAGCGGUUUAAUUAAGCAAUCUCUCUACUCUUUUAUUUCGACUCGCUAGUUUUCUUCCCACCCACGACAUGGAGAAGGCGAUGAACGAAGGCAUCGGAUGCAGCCCCGUUUCACUUGUUGCACUUCUCUCAGUCCUAAUCAUUCUUAACUGGCUCAUUGUACUGCACUUCCAAUCGAAUUUACGCUACUUGUUUUUAUGUUUCCUUUGCGAAGUUAUGCAGGUUAAGACCAUUUUCCAAAGAAGUUGCACUGAUGAGAAAGUAUGUGAGCACAAACCAUCCAAAGGAGUUGAAACCAACUCUACAACAAGUUCUGAUCAAGUCCCCUCGAUUCAUGCCGCAGAGAUUAGUUACACUCGCGAAAAUGUUGUAGAUGGAAAAAAGAAUCUGUGUUUAGGAGAACUAGGACUAGUGAUGGAGAAACUAGAAACAUUAAGUGAGGGGGAGGGAGGCUCGAAGGAGAUUGCUAACUUGUUUGAGGAGGUCCCAAGCUUGGAGGAAGUAAAAGAAGCUUUUCAUGUGUUUGAUGAGAAUGAGGAUGGAUUCAUUGAUGCCGGGGAGGUAAAGAAGGUUCUCUCUGUAUUGGGUUUCGUUGAAGCUUCGGAAGUGGAAUGCGAAAGGAUGAUCAAGUCGUUUGAUGAUAACGGAGAUGGACGCAUAGAUUUCAAUGAGUUUGUUAAGCUCAUGGAGAACAGCUUCCGCUGAGUUACCAACAUAAAAUGUUCACAGAUUUUGGUUAAAUGAGUUGCUAAAGCCGCUCGCAUCCUUCUCUUUCUUUCUUUCUUUCUUUCUUUCUUUCUUUCUUUCUUUCUUUCUUUCUUUGUGUUAGUUUUAGGUGCCUUGUCAAAGCUUUGAGUAUGCCUUUAGGCUCUUAUAAACGAUUUAAUUGCUUUCAUGCGUGUCAUUGUUGGCCUAGUUUUAGGUGCCUUGUCAAAGUUUCGAGUAUGCCUUUAGGCUCUUAUAAACAAUUUAAUUGCUUUCAUGCGUGUCAUUGUUGGCCAAGAUCAACAUAUUGAUUGUUUCGUAAGUAUUCGUCGAGCUUGUUUGCUUGCACGGCAACAAGUAAACUGGACUUCCUAUCAAGGAUUGUUUCAUGGAGGGGUUAAAUCCAUGUCAAGUUCUUUUUCAUGCCUUGGUGAUAAGGAAUUUUAUAACUCCGCCGUGUAAGUUUAUCUUACAUUGCCGGUCCCAAGCCCGGAUAAAGGAGGAGGGGGAGGGCGUCAGGUAGUCGACAGCCGGCACUCCAUGAUCACGUCGAAUCCUUAUGAAAAUGAAUCCAGAACGAAAUCGCGCUAAAGCUAGGGCGUCACCCGUAAGUGGCGCGCUGUGUGGCCCGAGCACAGUGAUAAGUGAGCAAGGGUCGCUGUAUCUCCAUCGGCACCCGGAUGCAGUGUUAAAUGAGCAAGGGGGCUAUAGAAACUUCUUUUCGAACGACUCCACUCAAAGUUGUUUGGGAGCAUAUGCUCCUAUCAACUUUACACGGGACACACAAAAGAAGUACUUUGAUCCUAUUAGACGGGGAAGGGUGAAGAAGCUAGGACAGAAGGGUAGAGUUCAAGAGAGCAAAAUGCGUUUAGGAACGUGGAAUAUAGGAACCUUGACGGGAAAAUCUAUGGAAGUAGUAGAAGUUAUGGUGAGGAGAAGGAUAAAUAUUAUGUGCCUACAAGAAACUAAGUGGGUUGGUUGUAAGGCAAAGGAUCUAGAAAACUCAGGGUUUAAACUAUGGUAUUCGGGCACAAAUAGAACGAGAAACGGUGUUGGCAUCAUCGUGGACAAGACCUUGACACAAGAUGUUGUAGAUGUCAAGAGGGUAGGAGAUAGAAUCAUGGCAAUCAAGAUUGUAAUAGGACAAGAACUUAUCAAUGUGAUUAGUGCGUACGCACCUCAAGUAGGGUUGGAUACGAGUUCGAAGGAGAAAUUUUGGGAAGACCUUGGAGACUUGGUGCAAGGAAUUGCUCAGACGGAGAAGUUAUUUAUUGGAGGAGAUUUAAAUGGACACGUGGGCAGGGAGACAGGCAACUAUGGAGGUUUUCAUGGUGGCCAUGGUUUUGGGGAGAGAAACGAGGAUGGGGAAGCUAUCUUGGAUUUUGCAAUGGCAUAUGAUCUCUUCUUAGCCAACACCUUCUUUAAGAAGAGAGAGAAGAACAUGUGAUCACCUACAAGAGUGGGUCGUCAAAAAACACAAAAUAGAUUUUCUUCUAAUGAGGAAAAGGGAUCGUAUAACUUGUAAGGAUUGCAAAGUUAUACCAGGAGAGAGAGCGUGGCUAAUCAACAUCGCUUGUUGGUGAUGGAUGUACAUAUCAAAAGAGUGAGAAAAAAGAACAAGACUUAGAAGUGUCCAAGGACUAGAUGGUGGAAUCUAAAAGAAGAAAAACAAGUCAUUUUCAAAGAGAAAGUAAUCACCCAGUGUGUGUGGGAUAGAGAGAGAGAAGCUAACCAAAUGUGGGAUUCCAUGGCUAGUUGUAUCCGAAAAGUAGCAAAAGAGGUAUUAGGAGAGUCCAAGGGCUUUGCCCCACACCAAAAGGAAUCUUGGUGGUGGAAUGAGGAGGUACAAGCAAAGGUGAAGGCUAAGAAGGAAUGUUGUAAAGCCUUAUACAAGGAUAAGACCGAUGAAAAUGGUGAAAGGUAUAGAAAAGUGAAGCAAGAGGCGAAGAAAGCUGUGAGAGAAGCUAAGUUAGCGGCUUAUGACGAUAUGUAUAAGCGACUAGAUACCAAAGAAGGAAAGUUGUAUAUCUAUAAACUAGCUAGAGCAAGGGAAAAGAAGACAAGGGACCUAAACCAAGUGAGGUGCAUCAAGGAUGAGGAUGGAAAGGUUCUUGCUACAGAGAAUGCGGUUAAAGACAGAUGGAAAGGUUAUUUUCAUAAUCUUUUCAAUGAAGGACAAGAAAUGAGUGCUUCUUUAGGGGAGUUGAGUAACUCAGAAGAGUGUAGAAAUUACUCUUUUUAUCGUAGAAUCCGGAAGGAAGAAGUGGUUGUAACUUUGAAGAAGAUGAAGCAUAGAAAAGCAGUAGGCCCAGACGAUAUACCAAUCGAAGUGUGGAAAGUUUUGGGAGAGACAGGUAUAACAUGGCUCACUGACCUUUUCAAUAGGAUUUUGAAAACGAAGAAGAUGCCGAAUGAGUGGCGAAUGAGCACUUUGGUGCCUAUCUACAAGAAUAAGGGCGAUGUACAAAAUUGCAUGAACUAUAGGGGUAUUAAGCUAAUGAGUCAUACAAUGAAGCUCUGGGAGAAAGUCAUUGAGCAUAGAUUGAGGCAAGAGACACGGGUUUCGGACAACCAAUUCGGGUUCAUGCCAGGGCGCUCAACCAUGGAGGCAAUCUAUCUCUUACGAAGAUUGAUGGAAAGAUAUAGAGAUGGGAAAAAGGAUUUACACAUGGUCUUUAUAGAUUUGGAAAAAGCGUAUGAUAGGGUCCCAAGAGACAUUCUUUGGAGGAUUUUAGAGAAGAAUGGAGUACGAGUAGCAUAUAUCCAAGCUAUACAGGAUAUGUAUGAAGGAGCAAAGACUGCCGUAAGAACUCAUGAAGGACAAACCGAAAGCUUUCCCAUAACUGUAGGAUUACAUCAAGGCUCAUCCUUAAGUCCUUACCUUUUUGCGUUGGUAAUGGAUGAGUUAACAGGACAUAUUCAAGGUGAUAUUCCUUGGUGUAUGCUUUUCGCAGACGAUAUAGUGUUGAUAGAUGAAACUCAGGAAGGGGUAAAUGCAAAGCUUAACCUUUGGAGAGAAGUGUUGGAAUCUAAAGGUCUUCGCCUAAGCCGAUCAAAGACAGAAUAUAUGGAGUGCAAGUUCAAUGCAAAUGGAGGCCAAAACGAGUUAGGGGUAAGGAUUGGAGAUCAAGAAAUACCAAAGAGCGACCGUUUUCGUUACCUAGGAUCUAUCUUGCAAAAGAACGGAGAAUUAGAUGGAGAUCUCAACCAUAGAAUACAAGCUGGAUGGAUGAAGUGGAAGAGUGUAUCCGGCGUGUUGUGUGACCGCCGUAUGCCACUGAAGCUCAAGGGAAAAUUUUAUAGGACGGCAAUAAGGCCGGCGAUGCUGUAUGGCACAGAAUGUUGGGCGGUGAAGCAUCAACACGUACACAAAAUGGGUGUAGCGGAGAUGAGGAUGCUUCGCUGGAUGUGUGGGCACACGAGAAAAGAUAAGAUUAGGAAUGAGGAUAUCCGGGGUAAAGUAGGAGUAGCCGAAAUUGAAGGAAAGAUGAGAGAAAAUCGGUUACGGUGGUUUGGACAUGUGCAAAGAAGGCCUACUGACGCUCCGAUUAGAAGAUGCGACUAUAGGACAGAGGUUCAGGGCCGAAGGGGUAGAGGAAGACCUAGGAAAACUUUGGAAGAGACCCUAAGAAAAGACUUAGAGUACUUGGAUCUAACGGAUGACAUGACACAGGACAGAACACAAUGGCGUUCUAAGAUUCAUAUAGCCGAUCCCACUCAGUGACUUGGAUUUUCCAAGUCUCCAACCGAGAAGUUUUCCUCACUCGGGAAAUUAAGGGAACACUACCUCAACCUAUAUGCUCCACUCACAAAGCUUCAACAUACAAGCUUCAACAAAAGAAAAUUAAAAAAACUUAGCGAAGAAGGCUUUGGUGUAUUUAACACAAUACGUUGAAAUGAAGAAAAGCUUAUUUAUUGAUAUCCUCGAUAAGUUACAAAUAUGUACAUAUACUUGAGUCAAAAUAAACAAACAAGAGGGAGCCUUCACAAAGGUUGCUUAGGAGAAGUCUCAGCAGUCGAUAGAGCCCCAGAAAGAGAAGGCACCGGAGGGGGAUCAUUCGGAGCCUCAGUACUGGACAAAACCCUAGAAGGAGGAGGCAUCAGAGGUUGAUCAUUUGGAGCUUCAUUACGCGGUACAGCCCCAGAAGACGAAGGCAAUAAAUGCCUUUGGAACAAACCCACAAAUCUCUGAUGAUCAAGUAAAACCUGACCAUCAGAUUCCUUCAUCUGGUCAAGCUUCCUCUUCAUGUUUGUAGCAUAGUCAUGUGCGAGCCGGUGCAACUGUUUAUUCUCAUGCUUGAGCCCUCUAAUCUCCUGUUUGAGACUCAUCACUUCAGCCGCCAAUGAUUCAACUUGGCGGGUUCGAGCAAAAUAGGCGUUGGGCCAUAUUAGACACAGAACAUGCACACUGAACACUGAGAGCCAGAGAAUCCUUAACAGCCAACUCAUCAGACCGUUUGGAAAGUAGUCUGUUAUCUUUGGGAGUGAGAAGGUUCCUGGCCACUACCGCAGCGGUCAUAUCAUUCUUCAUCAUGGAAUCCCCAACGGUAAGAGGACCAGUAGGGGAGACGAAGGAUGGGCGCCAUAUGUUGUCUGGAGAAGGCGGGGCUGCCUCUUCAACAAGGUUCAAGUCAAAACAACGGUCGGAGGGGCCAGACAUUUUCAAAUGUGUUGAAGAGAGAAGAGGUCGGACAAAUCAAGAUCUUAGAAGUGCAAGAAUUUAGCUUCUACUAGUGGAUCUUCAAGUGUGCUUUGGAACUUAAUGUCAGCCCCUAUAAAAAUCUGCACUCGACGAAGCUUCAAAAAUCGAAGAGGCGCCUGCUCAGAAAUCGAAGAUGCGUUUGCUUUCUCAAAAGCUGGGCUGCUCAGAGACCACGAGGGUCGAUCUCAGAAAUCGAAGAGGCGUUUGCUUUCUCAAAAGCUGGGCUGCUCAAAGACCACGAAUGCCGAUCUCAGAAAUCGAAGAGGCUUGCUUUCUCAAAAGAUGGGCUGCUCAGAGACCACGAGGGCCGAUCUCAGAAAUCGAAGAGGCACCUACUUUUCCAGCCUUGUCAGCACCUGUCACACGCACACUCAACUUUGUGGAAAUUAUGGGCAUUCUGUCGAAGAUUUCUGGCGAAGUAGAAAGCACAUGAAUCGUACUGUUCAAUCACCCACUUCCCACACGCAACAGUAGCUCAUGGGUACCACAGAUAACUUUGCCAAAGUUCUCUGACAAAGUUGAGACACGUGAAGUUUGCAGCUCCCACUACAUCGCUCUGACCAAGAAGGGUAAAAGAAUUGCAAAGAAACAACACUAACAAAGUUUAGACACAUAAAUUUUGAAGGUCUAGCUUCCAUAUUAUUACCCACAAGGGUAAAGGAAUAGUACCACUGCUGGAUAAUUGGAAUGUCCCGGUGUGUCAACCUCUGUGCUUCGUGGCAAGGUAGACUAGCAAACAUGCCCAACCUUUACUCACAUUCGAGAAAAACACUCCCAACAAGAUUGCUUGCUCCAAAAUCGAAGAGGCACCGCCCUCCGAAUCUCGAGAGCCAGACUCCUAACAUGAUUACUUUCUCAAAAAUCGAAGAGAGGGUAAAGGAACAGUACCACUGCUGGAUAAUUGGAAAGUCCCUGUGAGUCAACCUUUGUGCUUCGUGGCAAGGUAGACUAGCAAACAUGCCCAACCUUUACUCACAUUCGAGAAAACACUCCCAACAAGAUUGCUUGCUCCAAAAUCGAAGAGGCACCGCCCUUCGAAUCUCGAGAGCCAGACUCCCAACAUGAUUACUUUCUCAAAAAUCGAAGAGAUGGUAAAGGAACAGUACCACUGCUGGAUAAUUGGAAAGUCCCUGUGUGUCAACCUCUAUGCUUCGUGGCAAGGUAGACUAGCAAACAUGUCCAACCUUUACUCACAUUCGAGAGACACUCCCAACAAGAUUGCUUGCUCCAAAAUCGAAGAGGCACCGCCCUCCGAAUCUCGAGAGCCAGACUCCCAACAUGAUUACUUUCUCAAAAAUUGAAGAGACACCGCUCUCCGAAUCUCGAGAGCCAGACCCCCAGCAGGAUUGCUUUCUCAAAAAUCGAAGAGGCAUCGUUCUCCGAAUCUCGAGAGCCAGAUCCCCGACAGGAUAGCUUGUUCGAAAACCGAAGAGACACCAAUUUCCCAACUUCAAGAGCUGGAUCUCCUUGGAUAAAGCUUGUCUGUAAUCUUCACACGCAACAUCAGCUUUCCAGAUACCACGCACAGACCACUUUUUCAAAGUGCUCUGACAGAGUUAAAACAUGUGAAGCUGGCAGCUCCCACUACCGUGCUAUGACCAAGCAGGGUAAAGGAAUAACAUUAUUACUUGAUGUUAGGGAGACUCCUAUAUAUGUCGACCUCCAUCCCUAAUGGACAGGCAGACCAACAAAAAUGCUCAACCCUUUCUCUUAUCUGAGAGGGCACUCCCAACGAAGCCUUUCGAAAUAUUCAGCUUUCUUUCCCCCCGAUAAUACCUCUGUAAACAAGCUAUACUAGAGCAAGAAUAUCUCAUAUCAUCAGGGUUAAAAGCAAGAGUAUCCCAUAUCAUGCUUUUUCCCUGUCUUUUCCUUUGGCCUUGUUCUUACCUGCAAGACAAGGAGAAAGAGAGCAAUCAGUCAGCACUUGGAAUCAAGCUUCCAGCCAGGAACUGACUGCCUGGAACCCCUUACCUGAUUACUUACCUGGCAUUGCUCUCGAGUACUCAUCUUCAACAUCUUAUGCUUCCAGGGAAGAUACCGCAUCUGCCUGAGGAACAGAUAGGGCAAGUGAGAAUGAUACAAUGAAGCAUGUGGAGACAAGCGUAACAGCACACGUGCCGAUACAUCCACUACUUUGUCAAAAGCAAAAGUAUCCCAUAUCAGCAGGGUCGAACGUACUCUAGAUUUGAUGGACUUGUUUUGACCCUCAAAUUCUUCAGUCGACCUUAUACUCUGGAGGAAACCAGAAAACCCUCCAGCCCAGUUCAAGAAUAAGCCUGUGGAAAGUUACUUCUUCAAAAGCAAAAGUAUCCCAUAUCAUCUCUUCUCAUUUUUCUUCUCUUUAUCCUUCAUGCUGCCUGCAAGAUAGGGAGAAUGUGAACAAUCAGCCGGAGCUCUGAUUGCUUACCUUGUCUGUCACCUCUUUCAGCAGAUCCCCUAGCUCGGCGACUUGGGGGACUCCUACUACAUGGUUUGUAUCGCGCUUGACCAAGCAUGAAACUACAAGUAAGCUUCAAGUGAAAUUGAUACAUUACCUUGUGCAUCUCCACCAGUUACAGAUACCACCCCUGGAUGGAGGAAGAGUACUUCCAGAGAAGAUGCCACAUCUACCUAUGAGACAGAUAAGGCAAGUCAAGACGAUACCACAUUCCGGUACUUAGAAGUUUCGUGGCUACGAGAUCAUUCUCCCACAAUAUUUUCUAAUGUCAUUUGUACUAAAUCAUUCACUUGUACUCACUAAAGGAGAGCUUGAACCUAUGUACUUGUGUAAACCCUUCACAAUUAAUGAGAACUCCUCUAUUCCGUGGACGUAGUCAAUCUGGGUGAACCACGUACAUCUUGUGUUUGCUUUCCUAUCUCUAUCCAUUUAUAUACUUAUCCAACUAAUGACCGGAGCAAUCUAGCGAAGAUCACAAAAAGUGACCAUUUUCGCUACCUAGGAUCUAUCUUGCAAGAGAACGGAGAAUUAGAUGGAGAUCUCAACCAUAGAAUACAAGCUGGAUGGAUGAAGUGUAAGAGUGCAUCCGGCGUGUUGUGUGACCGUCGUAAGCCACUGAAGCUCAAGGGAAAAUUUUAUAGGACGGCAAUAAGGCCAGCGAUGCUGUAUGGCACAGAAUGUUAGGCGGUGAAGCAUCAACACGUACACAAAAUGGGUGUAGAGGAGAUGAGGAUACUUCGUGGGAUGUAUGGGCACACGAGAAAGGAUAAGAUUGGGAAUGAGGAUAUCCGAGGUAAAGUAGGAGUGGCCAAAAUUGAAGGAAAUAUGAGAGAAAAUCGGUUUCGGUGGUUUGGACAUGUGCAAAGAAGGCCUACUGACGCUCCGGUUCUAAAAUAUGACUACGGGACAGAGGUUCAGGGCUGAAGGGGUAGAGGAAGACCUAGGAAAACUUUGGAAGAGACCCUAAGAAAAGACUUGAGUACUUGGAUCUAACGGAGGACAUGACACAAAACCGAGCGCAAUGGCGUUCUAGGAUUCAUAUAGCCGACCCCACUUAGUGGGAAAAGGCUUUGUUGUUGUUGUUGUUGUUGUUGUUGGUGAUAAGGAAUUUUAUAUUGAUGCCAAGAGAAGACCACAAACUGAUUAGAAGUGAUCUAAGUCAGUUUGCAAUCUUCGUUAUGAAUGUAAAAGCAGUAAGUGGAACAAAACAGAAUAUAAGUCAAUGGAUGAAUGUAAAGAGCUGUAAAGACUUGCUGAACAUUAAUCAAAAGCAUAGUAAAUUGCAUAGAAAUAUAACAACUUGAAAAUAAACAAUUAAUAAAGUAAUCAGACAAAAUUAAACCUAUUCGGGCAAGUUUUACCUAGAGUCGGGCAAACUUGUCCACCGAUAGGGGAAGUGCUAGUAAAGAUAGAAAGCGUUUGUGGAAGAGAUUUUAAUACAAGAGAUUGAUAAUACAAAUAAUGAGAGCUAUAAAGGUAAAAGAGUGUCUGAAGUACAAAAGGAAUUUGUAAAAGUAGGCUUGCAGAACUUUGAGUAUGUUGAGUUAAGUGUCCCUUUCUUCUUCCUUUAUGCUCCCAUUUAUAGAACCGACUCUUCGUUCUAGAGUAAGCUUUUCUCUCUAAGUUCAUUCCCUCUAAUUUAAGUUACUGAUGUGAUUGUUGUUAGAUGAUGAGUUUUCCCUUGGUAAUUCGAGCUUUUAUCCUCUCAAAACUACGAGUUUGCAACUUUUUUCAAAAACUGGGCUGGGCACUAUUCAUUUUGCUGAGAACCCAUUAAACUUUUACACUUAAAUCCAGUGUUUCCGGAUCAACUAGAAUGUUGUUUUCAUGUCCUAGUAAAUAUAUGAAAUCUGAUCAAAUUGGAGAGGUAGAUAAGAUUGAGCAGCAAACCAAUUGCACUAGCACAAAAUUUUUAUCUCCAAAAGUAAUUAAAGUCUCAAAACAUAAAACUUCCAAUAGCUACUAUAGUUAACAAAACCGACCUAACUAAGACAACCAAAGCUCAAUAACCUGUAAUGAAAAUUAAUGGUCAAUAAUUUUUCUUAACUUUCCGACGUGGGACAACACUCCAUAUCCUCGUACUGUUGCACUGACUCUGCAAAAAGUGAUAAUCUUUGUGCUUAAAUUGGUAGUGAGAGUAGAGUUGCUAGUGAGAGUAGUUAUCGUAUAAAAGCGUAAUGUACAACUUCGACGAUGUAAAAAGGCUUUGUUGGUAAGAGUAGGUAUUGUGUUGGAGCGUAAUGUACAACAACUCCUAUGAAGUGAAAAAGUUUCCAACAAACGAAUGGGCCACCAUCCGUUUUGUUGUCGAGGGUUGACAAUUGGGUCGACAGUCUUUGGCCCAAAUUUUCUUCAUUCCCGCAAUGAACCUCUGUCGACUUUCAGCACCAUUACUGUACCUGUCACUCUCUCUCUCUCUCCCCGCCGCAGGGGGCAGCUCGCCGGUGUCGUCGCCCCUGUUUUCGACCCGAUAAAGGUAAGAGCUUUGGCCUUUGAUUUCCAUAUUGUUAAUUGUAUGUUAUUUUUUCCUUCCCAAUUGACAUAGUCCGAUUGUGUGGCUAAGAAGAAACACAGAUUCAUCUUUUUGUUAUCGUUUUUUAUAUAAAGAUUUCGGAAUUUAUACUGUGAAUGUGUGUGUGUGUGCGCGCGCGUGUAUGUGUGUGUGUGUGUGUAUAUAUAUAUAUAUAUAACUUGGUCAGAGGAGAAAUAAGCAAAACCCAGUUGCAUGCUGUUACCCAAUUUGUAUUUGCAAUCAAAGAUGGAAGCUUUUCUGAUGAAUUUUUACAGUUUAAUUAGCUAAAAAAGUGUUUAGUUUCAUUUUCUGUGUGGUGAUUUUUGUUUCUGUGGAUGUGUUUUGAUGGAUAGGAUGGUUUCAAUGACUAUUCCUCAAGGAAGAAACUUUGGGCUUCCAUUCAUGAACCUUGUCAGAUUAAAGGGAAUUCCCAUUCUCCAACAGCUUCAUUUAGAGGAGCAACUGCUUCGGACCUCGUCCGAUAAUUGGUGCAUUAUAAAUGAUGGAACUAAUGAUCCCGCUAUAGUCAUGGGUGUUUCGGGGUAAGAUGAGCUUCAACACUCCUUGUGACCUUGUUUAAGUUUGUUGGUUCUUUCCUUGACUACCAUUACCGAGCUAGUAGCAAACACGUAGAUGAUGUUGUCGUGAUCUGUCCAAGAUACGAGUGUCAUGCUUGGUCAAUCGUAGACAUAUUUUCCAAAUUACAUGAUUCUGGCUGUGCUCAUUCUCUUAGGUUUGUGAUUUUGUUAUUUAUUUAACUCCUUUUUUGUAUUGGAGAUUGUAAAGGAUCCGUGUGUGUUCUGCAUAGAAAACCUGCAGAGCUUCUUGAAAUUGAUUUGGUGUUACGAGACCAGAUUCCCGUCAUUAGAAGGUUUACUGGAGGUGGUACUGUUACUGUUGAUCAGAAUACCCUAUUUGUCACUUUCAUAUGCAACAAGGAUGCGGUUCCUGGCUUGCAACCAUAUCCUCGACCUAUAAUGUCGUGGAGUAGCCUAGUAUACAGCAAAGUGUUUGAAGGACUUGCUGAUUUUCAGCUUCGUGAAAACGGUACCUUAACUAACCUUUUCUAACAUUAUUGGUGCUUUAGGCUUAUAAGAUUAUGUGUUUGUUGUGUUUAUUACCCUGAUUUGUUUUCUUUUUCUUACCUCUUUUGUUUCUUGCUAUUUGGAUUCGAAUUUCUCGAUGCAAUUUGAGGUUCUUUAUUUGAUGUUUUCUGUGUGGUAUCAAAUGUUAGUUUUAUGUUUGGACUGUGCCCUAAUAACAUAAUUGGUCCUAUCGGAAUGUAGAUUAUGUAUUUGGUAACCGCAAGUUUGGUGGGAAUGCUCAAUCUAUUAGUAAAAACCGGUGGAUCCACCACACUUCCUUUCUAUGGGACUAUGAGGUUAGGAACAUGGCAUACCUGAAGCAUCCAAAACGGGUUCCUGAAUAUCGAUUGGUAUGUUAUGUGUAUCAAUGUGUGUUUCAAAUGUGCCUCAAAGAAAAUCUCUGAAUUUCACAGCUUAAAUAGCCUAUUAGUUUAUUGCUUGUCAUUGAGGCCUAUAUUUUGAUGCUAAUAUGCUAUCUAUUUCCUUUGCAGGCAAGAGACCAUUUAGAAUUCAUAUGCCACAUGAAAGACUACAUCCCAAGAUCAGUUUUUCUUGAGAAAACUGUUGAGGCAAUCGGAACCCAUUUCUCCGUGAGACCCGAACAGUCGGACACCAUUGAAGCUACCUCGAAUACGAAGUUUGUACCCUCAACUAGACUUUUGACAAGGCAGGAAUUAGAGGAAGCAGCAGCUUUUGAAUCUCAAGCUGAGAGAAAUCUCACUCAAUCAUUGUCAUUGUAAUGAAAGUGUGAAUGCUAAGAAAGACUCUUAAAAGUAGGACUCUCUGCCACCUUAUGUUUUUGACGCAAUGUUUUAUAAUGUUGGCACAAGAAUUGACGUUAAACUGUGAGGUAACACAAAGUCCAUGGAGCUUCACACUGUUGAGAGAGUCUAGUUAGCAUUUCUUUUUAUUAUUCAUUAACAAUUUUUCAAUAAAUGUAACCUUUUUUUUCAAUCAAAACAAAUGUUAUAUACCUUUUUGGACAAUGAAUUAUAUGUCAGUCCAUUUUUUUCUUGGGAAUUUGCAAUGCAAGUAAGUUUUUAAAUACAUGACCAUCGGAGAACUUCAGUACACUUGGGAUGCUAUUUUCGUUAUUACAAACUAAUCACGUAUUGCCACGUAGUAUCUCAACAUAAUCACAUAUUUCAUUAUGAAAUGCUAGUAAUGCGUGAUUGGCUUGGAAUAACGCGGUAUAUGCAAGUUUCUCAACUCGACCAGCCUACCAUGUUAACCGCAAAGAGAGCCAUGUAGGCUUUCUUGGUGGAGAAGCUUUUCGCAUUCCCAACCCAAGAUUUUUGUUGUUUUUUCCUCUUUUCAUUCUCGGUGCCACUGCAAACUCACAAAGCGCACCGUUCAUUACACCUCUCUCUCUCUCUCUUUCUCUCUCUCUCUCAACACACUCUGUCUCUCUCUGCCGCAGUAAAUUUCUGGUGGUGGUUCUGCAUAUUUUAACGACCGAAAUCACAGCUUGACCCGUCGUCUGCAAAUUCGUAAGCUUUCAAUCUUAACACCCCAUUUCCUUCCUUCCCUCCAUGUUACUCUGCUAUUACUUUUUCUGGCUUCCCCUGUAUUCGUUUUGAAUUUCCCUUUUACCAUAUUCAUAAAAAUGUCACCUUUUCACAUUGAUUUUUAAUAUUUCUCAUUUGGGUCCACGCUUUUGUGGAUUUUUAUUAAAUUUUUUGUUGUUGAUUUCGUGGAUUAUCAUCUUUUGGGAUUGCAGACAUUUGCUUGUAUUUGUCAUUAGGUGGUCGUUUUCUUUCUGGGAUUUUAAGGUUUCACGAGAUUGUCUGUUUCACGAGAUUGUCUGCUUUUGUGAUAAGUAGCCUCUGUUUUUCUGCACAAAACAAUUAAUUGUUCAGAAUUGGGGUGGAGUUUGUUUUUUUUGAAUAAAUGGUUAUCAAGUUCUGGUUCCUGGGAUGAAAGCUGCAUUUGGAGAAGUGCUUUUUGUUGUGUAAUUGAAGUGAGUCAAUGUGCAUUUCAACAAGAAACAAGAGUAUUGAGAAAUUUUCGCAGUUGCGCUUCGUAAGAUUUUCGAGGGGUUUGCUUGUUGGAUUGCAGGAUGGGAAGGGUUAAGUUAAAGAUAAAGAAACUAGAGAGCAGUGGGAACCGGCAGGUUACGUUUUCAAAACGGAGAAAUGGGAUCUUGAAGAAAGCUAAGGAGUUAUCAAUCUUAUGUGAUGUAGAUAUUGUCCUUCUCAUGUUUUCCCCCACUGGAAGGCCUACAUUAUUCCAAGGGGAGCGCAGGUAUUGUAAGCGGAAAGUUUACAUUCGUUCUUUGAUCACGAUUUUGCAGACAACCUAGCAGUAAACUUUCUAUAUCAUAUGCUAAUAUAGCUCCUUUGCUUUCAUGAUAAUUUUUCAGUAAUAUUGAAGAGAUUAUUUCAAAGUUUGCGCAAUUAACUCCGCAGGAGAGGGCAAAGAGGUACUACAGUACUUGCAACGAGAUUCUGACUUUCUCAUUUUCUAGCUGAUUUAGUUUGGAUGGCAUUACAGCUAACUAUUUGUCCAUUUGUCUUAACAGGAAAUUGGAGAGCCUUGAAGUAAGACUUUCACAAAUAGCAUUUCAAACGGGAACAUUUGUUUCUCUUGCUUUUGUUGUAUCAAACGAAAACUAACUUAUGUCACUUCAUCCAUUCUAUACUUGUAUUUUGGUGGUCUUUUUGUGGAUAUAGGUACUGAAGAAAACUUUUAAGAAGUUGGAUCAUGACGUUAACGUACAAGAUUUCAUGAGUUCAAGGUAUGUGAUUGUUUUUAUAUAAUUUGUCAUUUCCUUUGAGUGAAACCUACGGGGAUAUCUGAUGUGGCCCUUUUCUUAAUGUUCUUUUUCCCUUCUGUUUCUUGCAGCUCUCAGACGGUUCAGGUAUAUAUUCUUUACCACCAAUACCAAUACCAAUUAUAAAUGCUUUUCGAUUUCUUAGUUUAAUUACGACGACUAAUGUUUUGUGAUAAUUUGCUAUUGGCAGGAUCUGACUCAUCAAGUAAUGGUAUUGCAAGCCCAACUUACAGAACUCCAUAGGAGACUGAGGUGCACCUUUGGAGCUUUUGGUUGUUAAAGUAUUGCCUUGUCUUUUUGGUCUUGAUGGUCAAAUUACUAGCAUAUUACAUUGUGUAUUUUAGACAAUGUAAAUUUGAUAUUAGGGCAUUUCAAAGUAUGAACUUGAUAUGAUAAAGGAAACAAAUAAGCAAAAGUGGUUUAAGUUGCUUACGAGUGUAGUUUAGGGAUUCACUGCCCAAUUUGGGGGUCAAUUUGAGUCUUAUUUGUGAUUUUCAUGUCAUGGGUUGAGUUGCACAUGCUGUAUCCUAAUAGCAACCAAUAUGUAGUAUUCAACGGGUUGGCUAGUACGCAGAUAACUUGAUGUGUUGGACCUUAGCCACCCUAAGAAAAUUGUAUAAAAACUCUUUUUUCUUUAAUUUUCUUGUGUGUUCUUGGUUAUAUUAUUUUUCUCUUGACCUGUUUUCCUAUUAAAAUUUUCAUUGAAUUUACAAAUGAAUAUCGGAUUCCAAUAUGUAUUGAUCAGUAAGAUAAAUGCAUAUAAAGAAUCCAUGUGAUAAUCAAGCUGUUGCCACUUUUUCAGCUUAUGGAGUGACCCAGAUAAGGUUGACAAUCUUGAACAGCUUCGGCAGAUGGAAGACAUGCUUAAGGAAUCAAUCAACCGAACACGUCUGCAUAAGGUAUCAUUUUGUUUUUCAAGUUACAGUAGUUGCACAAUAAAUUCUAAGGCUUAUGCUGUGAAAGAAGAAACAACGAGGGCUUUACAGUUUUGUAUACCAAACAGCUGAAAAGUAAUGAUGAAGUAUGAACAGUGAUAUAUGGCUUUGGUUGAUUUUGGUGUCAUGGUGAGUUUAAGAAGCCAUGACUUACCUGAUCCGCCUACGCUGCUACUUUGUCUACCUGCUUUGAUAGCAACUUAUGAGGGGGUGGCUACUGAAUCGAUGCUAAUAUUUGAUAACUAAACUUGUUAGGAAAAUUUGGGAAAACACCAACUAACAUCACUAGAUUGCACAAAUCAGGUAAUAUAUACUUUAGCUGAUGAAGAAUUAAUUCUCUCUCUCUCUCUCUCUCUCUCUCUCUCUCUCUCUCACAUCUAAUCUGAAGCUUUAUUUUUGUGUAUCAAAGUUUCAAAAUGGAAUGCCUUCGUCUUUCUUAGUUGGUGGUUCGCAAGAAGCUCAACCUAUAACUUGGCUUUUCAAUAGCGACAAUCAGCACAUGAUAUUACCGAAUGAGCAGAACUAUCUGCCACAUAGGUUAGUUUACUGCUGUUAUGCAUCUACCAUUGGAUAUGCCAAAGAGCCUAAUGCCUGAGAACUUUCUUUCUGAUAAAUUACUGAUGCUAUGAUUCUCUCUCUCUCUCUCUCUAGAGGUGUGGAGUGCUCAACAAAUACCACAGUUCCACAUUAUAUUCGUUACUUUGGCACUGGGACUAGCACUAGCUCUAGCACCGGAAAACAAUCUGAGGCUGGUGAUCCAUUACAGCUAGAUACUAUGGGACAAAUUUCUAAUAUGGAAGGAGGCGGUGGCUUCAAUGAGUUUGACAUUAAUGCUUGUUUAAGUACGGAAUCUGGUGAGCAUUAUGCGUAUCCAACAUAUUGUAGUUCUAAUGUGCCAGACGAUAAGAAAGUGAAGCCGGAGAAUGAAAUGAACGUACCAGCAAAUCCAGUGGAUUAUCAACUAAGUAGCAACUUUGAACUGCCAAGAUCCUUGUAUGAAAAUGAUCAUCAUGCUUGGCUUUCUUCGCCUGGCCCUAGCGGCAUUGCUGUGUACAAGGAGAAUACCUACCAGCCGGUGAGCAUUCCUUCCAUCGAUGUUUUUCAUUCUGUUUUGGCAAGCUAUGAAAUAACGGAUAAAUUAUUGGUCUUUGUAUAUUAUCAUUCCAUUGAUGCCUUGCGGCUCUUUGUUUUCGUAUCUUGUAGCAACCAAACGUGAGAUUGUAGCUGACAAAAUCAGGGAAGGAUUUACAGGCGCCACGCACCGUGCAAAUGAUGUGAGUUGUGAAAUGUUAACAGUUAUCUAAGAUAUGUAUUGAUGCUAAUAGGCUACUUGGGGCAUAGAUUAAAUCUGUAUAUAUACUGUACAAGACAUAUAGGAUCAGAGUUCAUCUGUAUACUAACAUGGUUGGGUUCCUUAGAGCAACCACCACUUUUGUAAAUUAUUACUCAUAGAAAAUGAAAGCAAACAUGAUGGAUUUCUUGAGCUAUUUUUGUGAUUUAUAUUAUGUUAGCACACAAACGAGCAAUUUCUAAUCCAGCGAGUCUUGGCAACGGAAAGGUGGUUCCUUUGUGAUCAAAAGGUUACGGGUUCAAGUCGUGGAAACAACCUCUUUGCAAAGCAAGGUUAAGGCUGCGUAGGAUAGAUGUUCCUCCCCCGACCUUCGCAAAGUGGGGAGCCUUGUUGGCUUAGGGUCGCUCUCUUAAACACAAUUAAGCAAUUUCUAAUCCAGUCUAAAUUACGAGGAAGGAGAUUUGAACUUGGGUGUAGAUGGAGCACACGUUUAACGAUAAUGAUAAUAUUCACCGCCACCAUGGUUCCUGUACACUGGUAAAACCUUUGUCUACAUUGAUGCUCACCUUCCCAAUCACUCAAAGACCAUUAAUUCAUUGUUACAAACUAAAUAAAAACAGAUCUUCCAUCUUUUCUGCUUUUGCAAUCGAUCUAGGAGCCGCUUAGGGUUUGGACAAUGGUGUUGUGCCAUGGAUCUGAGAGGUGCUGCAACAGGUUGUCGAACGGCCCCUUUCCGGUCACAUUGUGUUGAACCACAAACCCGAGGAAGGCCAACAUUGCCAGUCUCCCUGCAUAACACAUUUCAAACAACAUAUUAGACCUUGUUUCAAACAUAAAAGCAAACGUGGGUUAGGCUAGUUGGUCAGGGCAGUGUGCGCCCCUUGGUAGUGACAUCAAAUGCUUACCAUUGGCAAGUUCCUUCUCCUUGGCCUCGAGAGUGGGUUCGAAGUUGAGGGGGUUGAAGAUGCCACCUGGGUAGCCCACCUCACCUGGGGGCAAGCUGUAUUGCUUGAAGAUGGGGUCUUGGUUCACACUUCCCGGGUUCUUGAUGUCUUGCCACCGUCUGAUCUCGACGUAGUGGAACAAGAUGAACUCGAUCACGAAGAGGGUGGACGAAGAAGCGAAGUACUCGGCCUUUCCGGCAUCAUACCAUUUGGGAACGUUAAGGAUCCCAAUGCUGGUGAACACUUCAGGCAAUAGCAUCCCAACAACGCCCAACAUUGCCCAUCUGCCAUUGACAAGCUCAGCUUGGAUAUACCACCUUAAGUUCUCUGGGUCCUCAGCAAGUGCCAGAGGAUCAAAUCCAUUGUCACCAGGAAGGCUGCCCACAAAAACAUAUCUUAGUCAAUCAAUGUUUUUUCCCCAGUCGAAACAUUUGUAGGACUUUUUUGUCGGUCAUCUAAAAAGGUCGUCGUGCACUCUUUUAAAAAAAUUAAGUUGUAAUUGGAGAUGUGUAUUAUGGUUAUUUUAGAGUGUGAAUAAUAAUAUUGUUAGUGUAAACGUGAAAUUUUUAACAUACCUGCCGGUGAG